CUUCAGCUGAAGGGAACUCAGUUGGAAUACAGUCAGCCUGAGCCGAGGCCCAGACGCAGUGCUUCCAGCUGUAAUGGCACAGUCUGUCAACUCAACUCUGUUUUGAAUGGAACUGGGCACUUACCGAUGGCCAAAACCAGCAGUUGACUAAAAUAAUUAAGCUAUGUGCAGACAGUGAUGGAGGUGGAGAAAGAUCAAGCCGGACAAGCCCUUUGGAAAUUAUUUGCCUUUGUUUUACAGGUGAGCACACCAAGGCCUGCAGGUCACAUUGUGACUUGGUGAUAAUGAUGAGACUUAAGUUUAAGUUCCCUGGCUCUCACUCCAAUGUCAUUUUCAUCACAGGCACCUUUGCCUCCUCUGGAGUUUGAGUGCUGUAUAUGUCCUUCACUCUCCUUCUGAUGAGACAGUGGCCCUCUGCACCCAGAAUCGGCAGAGUGGACACUUGGAGAAUUUUUAUGUCCAGUGAUGGCAACAAACUGUGUUGGUCUCAGUGGACAUUGGAUAAAGAAUCCAAAGCCUGGGUCUGAGGACUGUCUCUGUACUUAUUUACUGGGUAACACUUUUUUUUUUCUAUCUCUUCUCUCAACUGUAAAACAUGAAGUGUAGCCAAGAGAAAGUGUGCUAUUGGGCUCUGAAAACUAAAACCAUGCAUGUAGAUUUCAUGACCGUUAUUUUCUAUCUCUUUCCCAGAUGCCAGCUUGUCAUUUGUAAGGAUUGAAUUCUGAUUUAGCGUCCUGGUCUCUGAACAGGGGAUGUGGGGAAGCUGGCUGUCCCUAAAUGAAGCCACUGGGGAACCCAGGCAUGGUCAGAGUACAGGGGCUUACCAUCAUCAGUGCUUCCCUCACCCCAUCCCACUGUCAUACCCCAGGGGACAGCCUCCCAGCCUUCUCAUCAGUCCCCAAGCACUCCUUGCCCACGAGAUUGUCCUCCAGUUUGCAAAGGUCUUCUCUCAUUUGGGGAUCUCUUCCUGUCCUUUAAUAUGGCAGCAUCAUUGCCUCAUUAAGACCCUUCCCAGCUCCCCCAGACAGCUCAGUCACAGUCUCCUCGGCUUGGUGGUAAUGACAGUGAUCACUAGAGCCAGCCUCUUUGGUGUAAAUCCCAGCUCUGCCACUUAUGGGUAUUUGUCUUGGGCAGAGCACAGGGCCUCUCCGUGCCUCAGGAUCCACAGUGAUAAAAGGGAGAUAAUAAAAGAAUUGAUACCAUAGGAUUAUUCUGAGAAGUGAGUUAGCAUGAGUUAAAGAAUUUAGAGCAAUGUCUGAUUCAUAAGUGCUACCUAAAUAUUUGGUUGUUAAUAUUACAAAUAUUAAUAUAUGUUAGUACUUGAUAUAUAGUACUAAAAUAAUACUAUAAUAUUAUAGUAUUAUAAUAUAUAGUAUGCAGGGAAACAAUAUAUAGUGUGCAGUAUAAUGGAUUAUAUAUCUGUCUCCCUUACUCAGACUGUAAGAGCUGUAGUGGAAUCCCAUUUUCUCAGUGCUUAACAUCAUGUCAGGAUCAUAUUAAAUGCUCCAUAAGUGCUUGUUGAAUAAAUGACUGGAAUAAUCUACACAGUCACUUCUGUGACAUCAUUCAUGCCAUUCCCCCUCCCCACCUGUAAUCUUCACAGGACAAGCAGCUUAUUCACACUACCUCUCUGGUCUUCAUGUGAAUUGUCUUGUGGUUUUAAAAACACUAAGGUCUUGUUUUUGUUUUAAUAGCAAAGUUGUCCUGGGAUUUUAACCAGCAGAAGUACUAUAUGAAAACAAGUGCUAUUCAAUUGAUAAUAAAUAUUUCCUCUUGGAGUCCUAAUCACACUGUCCUAGACAUGGCUUCAAGAACAGAGUCCAAUCUGGGUUCUAUCUGAAGAGUAAUUUUAAAAAAUAAUUUCCUCAUCUCCCAUGAGUUUUGGGGGGGGACAUAUGUGGGACAUAUGCUCCUUGGGUUUAUAUGGUGUGACAAACUACAUGAUUUAGAAAAGUAAGUAGAGCCCUCCAAGAAAGAAACAGACAAGCUAAGGAUAGGCAUCAUGAGGGGAAGGUCAAAGUUAGGUUGGGGUUGUGAUUUCCUGGAAGAAGUAAGUUUUAGGGCACUAGUUGGACUCAUGGCCCUUGACCUCAUUCCUGUGCAUUACAUCCUGAAACUUAUACCCAAGAGACUGUGUCUGCCAAUUUUGGUUCAGGGUAAAAGUACCAUGAAGGUAAACUAUUUUCCUAUUGUAUUCUUAAUUUCCUAUUUCCAAUCAUAUUCUGAUAUACAACAAAAUACAAUCCCUCCAAGAGAUUAUAGGGCUAAAACUUGAAAAUAUCAUCUCGUACUGAUGGUUACUGGUACAAGCCAUAGUCUAAUAAAUGAUACUAAUUGGCAACAUUUAGAUAUCAAAUAAGGCAAUGAUAUAAAUAUAGGUAUUUGUGAAUUGUAUGUGUAUGUGUGAUUAUAUUAGUAACUUAAAUCAUUUAAAUUAGGGAUGGAUAACCAGGAAUAUCAACUUUUCCACUUCAACAUUUUCAUAAUAUGAUUUUCAGGUGAAAAGAUGCACAAUAGGAUCAUCAGAUGGGCUGAGUAAGGGAUAUGGGGAAUUGUCUGCCAAGAUGGCUACAAACAAUCUCCCCCGUCCCUGGAUGUGUACUGUUAUGGUUUGGAUCUGAAAUGUCCCCCCCAAAAUUCAUGUGUUGAGGCUUUGUCCUCAGGCAGUGCUCAGAGGUAGGCCCUUGGAAGGCGACUGGCUCACGAAGGCCCUAACCUCAUCAAUGGAUUCCCCAUGUACUUGAUGGAGGAAGUGGGUCUUUGGGGGUAUUCCCUGGGAGCUUUAUCUUUGUCCCCAGCCCCUUCCUCUUUCUCUCUGCUUCCCAGCCAGCAGGAGAUGAUGAACUUUCUUCCACCAUGUCCUUCUGCCCUGAUAUUCGGCCUCACCACAGGCCCAGAAACGGUGGAGCCCAGCGGCCCUAGAGCGAAACCUCUAAAACUAUGAGCCAAAGCAAAGCUCUUCUUCUUUAAGUUGAUUUUUUCAGGUAUUUUCUCACAACAAUAAGCUGAUACACACAUGUGUGUUGGGCCUUCCAUCCAGAAGUGGAAUCUAUUUCUCCUCCUCUCAAGCCUGGCUGGCCUUGUGACUUGCUUUGGAGAAGGGAACUUUGAUUCUCAGAGACCCGUAAGUGGUCUAACAGCUCCCACUUUCUCUCAGAGCCUUGGGGCAUCAAGUAAGGAAGUUUGACUCACUUGCUGCAUAUUCCCAACCCUCUCACCUGCCAUUCCAGCUUCCCCCCAACCCAGGCGACAGACAUGGGUGUGAAGUCAUCUUGGAUCCUUCAGAGUUGAUCACAAAAAAUCCCUGCCUUAACACUACUUGGAAAGAGAUGAGCUGUUUUUCAAAAAUUCCUGUCCAAAUUACACCAUCAUGAGUUAAUGGUGAUUGUUUUGAGCGACUAUGAUUUAGAAUGUUUAGUUAUACAGCAAUACACACCCGAAACAAAGAAUAGUAACCUUUCUGUAUCAGUGUCUGAGAUGUCUCCCGUAUGAUCUUCUUUUUGGAUUAGGACAGGUCAGGGAAGAUGUCCAGUGCCUGUCUCUCCCCAUUGCUCAUGGUGACACUGCUGAUUGAUCUCAGCUCUCUUUCCCAUUCAGCCCAGAGAUUGCUUUAACGUCACCAUGGUGCUUAGCCAGCCACCGCUAAACCAUUGAUGUAGGUCUCUGCUGUUCUAGGAUCAGCCAUCAUGCUUCCGGGGUGCCUGUCAGUGGAAGGAAUAGGAGAUGGUACAUGUACCCUAGUAAUCUAUCAGCACCCCCCUAAAUCAUGGAAAUGUACAAGAUGAUAGAACUAUAAAGGUCAUCAUCACCAGUGGUUCUGAACUCCAGCUGCAGAUCAAAAUUAUCUGGACUGAAUUUAUCUGAAUGAUAAAUUAUCUUGGACACAUCUCUGGGCCUUACCCCCAGAGAUUCAGAUUCAACUGGGCUUCAAUAUUUAAACACAUACAUAUUCCUUAGAAGUGAAGACAUUCAUAAACUGGGGCUUGAAGGUAUGGGUCACCAUCAGCUGAGCCCUGCUGGAGAGGCCAGUUUGGUUGAAGAACUGUGUAUGGGGUUCUAGGGAUUUCAGGGACAGCCCGUCCAAGGACUUUGAGAACCAGAAGGGAGAGGGGUUCCUAACAUGCAAGAGAGGAAUCAAGUAAGGAAAAAGGAGAGCCUGGGACCAGGAGAGCCAGCCUCUUGGUCAGGAGAAGCUGGCCGCUGGUCUGAGAGGGCACUCUCUAGAGUCUGACUCCAGAUGUAAGUGGAAGGUAUGCUCCAUGUUUUGGGGGUUUUCCUGUGAGAAUUUCUUAAACCUCAGACCUGACUGUCAAAAAGAACUGAGACAAGGUUCGAAGCACAAGAGAUGUGUUUGACACAAUAGGGUCAGGAAAGUUCAAGGCUCCUUCCCUCUCGGCAAGCUUGGCAGGAACGCUAAAACACAACGAGGGACUGGAGACCUUAUGACAGUAAAAUUUUAAGGCAUCAUUUUUGGGUAAAAUAUGACUUUCUGUCAGGUAUAUGAGUUGGUAGCUUUGAUGCAAAUAUAUAAUAAAUCUCACCUCUUUACUGAAAUCCGAAGAGAUUUUCUGCAUAUAAAUAAAACCAUGACUGCGAUAAGAUUGCUUUUGAUCACUUCACAUGAAAGGUGUUAGGAAUUUUCAAACUGUUACCAUAAUUAAAGUACUGUGGGAUGAAAAAAAGAACCACUUUACUUGAAUAUCUCUUCUCCUGCCCCCGUUUAAAAAGACAUUUCUGGAGAAAAGCAUGCUCACCCACUUUGGUAUUGUUUUGACCUUCACUUUGUAGUUUGAAAAAAAAAGUUACAGCUUUUAGUGACGACAAGAAAGUUGUUUUGCAGUUGAAAACUACACACCAAGAAUGACACUGGUCUUUGAGAAGACAAACCAAGUUUCCUCUCUCAAACUUGAUAUUGGGAUUGAACCCAGGGGUGCUGUACCCUGAGCUACUCCCUCAUCUCUCUCUCUCUUUUUUAAAAACAGGGUCUUGCUAGGUUGCCUGGUUGAACUUGUAGUCCUCCUGCCUCAGCCUCUCAAGUUGCUGGAAUUAUAGGGUGUGAACCUCAGUGCCAGCUCAGAAAUGGAUGACUUCCAAAGAGCUCAGUCUUCUUGGUAAAGCAGUUGCUUGAAGGUCUUCCUUCCCUCUUUUCCUGGGACUAUUUCUUGGUCUCCUGUUUGUAGGAUCACAGUGAGGAGUCAUUUUUGCCUAAGUUGUUCUAUUGGUCUUUUUAAAAUUACUUUUGCAUAUGCUUUUUAUAUUAAUCACAGUUUAUGUUCUACUAUCAUAAGCUAAAAAUAGUAGAGGUAUCAUACUCAAGUGCGCAUUCCUGUCUCCUCACACCCACUCUGGAGCAUCACUGAGGCUGCUGCAUUCAUUGCCAGGGCUCCAACCCACCAGCUCUCAUUCAUCUUGGACUGUCUCAUUAAAUAGUCCAUAUGCUGCUGCUCCAACUCAAAGUCACUAAGGGCUUCCUGUUGAGUACAGAAUAAAUAAACCCUUUAAGCUGGUGUUCAAGACUCUAUAGAAUCUGGUCCAACUUUGUUUCUCAAACCUACCAAACUUGAAACCUCAGAUCCAGCCCUACUGAUUCAUUCCCUGCCUUUCAUGCCUUCAUGGCUCUGUUUCUAGAUUCCCUUUUGUGAUCUAUUGAGCUGUGUUUUAGCCCAUUUCUGGAAUUUGACUGUCAUCCUGGCAGAGAUGUCCUCCUCCCUCUGGUAGGACUCCUGCAAGGCCCAGCUUACUACCACUUCCUCUGAAAAUCAUUUCCUAGUUACUCCAUCCAUUUCCCUGAGCUUUAAUGGAAAUUAUUGAUACUUAGCCUAUUCUGACUUAUAAUUUCAUUUCUAUUUAAUGUAUGUGUUUUAUUUUUCUUUCUAGAUGGUAAUAUUUUAUUCAUUUGUUCAACUAAUUUUAUUGUGGCUGGGGAUAUGGCUUAGUGUAAGUGCUCCUGGGUUUAAUCCCUAGUACCUGUCCCCCGAAAAAAAAUCUCACUAUUAUUUAAUAUAGAGUAAAUGAGCACUGAGCAUGACCUUUUUUAUUAUGCUUAGUACCAACAUGUAAUUUGUCUUCAUGAACUACCAAUUCAUAUAUCCCACCCAUUUUUCUAUUGGGUCACUUGUCUUUUUGUUGAAGGAGUUUCUUACAUAUUUUGAAUACCAAUUCUUUGUUUAAAAUGAAGCAAAUAUUUUUUUCCUAAUCUGUUUAUUUUCUUUUAAUAUAUUUAUGGUAAUUUCUUUUGAUAGUUUUAUAAUUUGGCAAAGUGAAAUUUAGCUGCUUUUUUCUCUAUAGGUUUUGCAAAGUUUUUUUCCUAUGUCAUACUCUGAUAUUUUCUUCUGCUGUUUUAUAUUGUAUUCAGGUCUUUAAUCCUUUUGGAACUCAUAUAUUUUUUGAGAGAGAGAGAGAGAGAAUUUUAAUAUUUAUUUUUUAGUUUUCGGCGGACACAACAUCUUUGUUUGUAUGUGGUGCUGAGGAUUGAACACAGGCCGCACGCAUGUCACGCGAGCGCGCUACCACUUGAGCCACAUCCCCAGCCCCUGGAACUCAUAUAUUUUUGAAUAGCUAAGAGUAGUCAUGUCAAUUAAUAUUUUCCAAAUGAACAAAUUGCUGAAGUCAGUGCCAUUCUCUGAAUAGUCUGUCUAUUCUUUCCCAUUGAUUUGAAAAGCCACAUUUAUCAUAUGUUUUCAUGUCUUCAUGGCUCUGUUUCUAGAUUCCCUUUUUGUGAUCUAUUGAGCUAUGUUUUAGUCCUUGAUCAAAAUGUUUUGUCUCCUGUUACUUUACAUUAUGUUUUUAUAGGCUAUGGCCCGUCUUGUCCUGCUCACCUCCUCCUAGUAUUAAAAAAACUGACAUGCCUGCCUGAAAUUUUGAAAAGGGAGUUCUAAAAGGGAGAACGUACCAUCCUACCUUUCUGAAGUGGUCCAGCAGAGGAUGGGUCUGAGAAUGGGCAGUGAGGAUAACCAGGCAUCUCACAUGGCCUGUCAGAUUGUCUUAGGUCAUCCUGGCAUGUGUGGCACGUGGCUGUUAUCAUUUCAUUUGUGUUUAUAGCAACAUAGCAGAAAUUGGACUUGAUAACUAAUCUGGAUAAUGUGGUUUGCCAAAAGUGGUUUUGUAACCAUUUUGGAGUUCCAAGGUAUUGUGCUCCAGAGAAGGCUGCUGAGGACUUCCCACCACCUGGCAGUUUCUCCUGGCAGGCUGACCAUGGCCAGCACUCAAGCCUGGUGCUUGAGGUGGAAUAAACAGAAACCAGGAAGCUGUGCUCUCCUGCUCAACACAACCUCACGUCCUUCAAGGUCAGGGAGUGACAUGCAAUUUGCACACGGUAUCUGUGCGCCCUUCUCACUCAUCCUCAAGGAGGCCUCUCCUGGAUUAUUUGUGAAAUUCAGAACAGUAUGUCCUCUUUUUUAGGUCCUCUUUUCCAAAACUUCUUUGAAUAUUCUUUCACGUAUCUCUUCUAGAGGAUUUAAUAAGUUCUUUGAAAAACCCCAGUGAGAAUUUGAUUGUGAUUUCACUGAAGGUAUGGAAUGAUUUGGGGAAUGCAUAUCUUUGCAAAGACAAAUCUUUUCUAUAAGAUACAUGCACAUUUUCUUCACUUAUUUCAGUUUUCCUUUAUAUCUUUGAGUACAAUUUUAUUCAUUUUUUUCAGUCAUAUCUCACAUAUUUUUUGCUUAUUUUAAAAUAUUUUAUAGUUUUAGGGCUUUUGUGAAUAGCUCUUUUUCAUGAAAUUUUUUAGUAGUUAUUAUAGAAUAGAGCAACUAUACUUUUCACAUGUUAAUAUUGUGCUUAACUCAACCCCGCGACCAGCACGCUAGCUUCAUACUAGAGGUUCUAAGCAUAGACGUUAACUAGUGAGAUCAAAAUAAACACACAUGAACUCAAUUUAGCUUUUUCUUUGACCAGGUCUGAGAUGGCUCCCCCUCUGGCUCCUGCCUCGAGCCACCCGGUGGGGCAGGGAGGUUUACACAAGACUAGCAGGAGAGAGAGAGGCAGGGCUCGCCAGAGAGUGGCCUUUUAUUGGGGAACAAGAAAUUCAGGGGAAAAUUCCAUCCAAUGAAGGUCGAGGGGGACAGCAUUCCAAGGUCAGGGUCAGUGAUUGGUCUCAGGGUCAAUGGUCAGUCACACCCCCACACGGAUGGGCUCUCGCAUCUAGAAAGGGUGGGGAUUAGUUCUGACACAGUUUAGCCGGAAUGUCUCACACCCAUUUGGGGAGGUACCCAAUCACGUGGGAGAAAGGCUUCCCACACUUAACCUCCAAGUUGAACCAACUCUGUGAUUCUGAUAGUUUUCUUCAAAUGAUUCUCUUGGAUUUUUCUACCUACAUGAUUCUAUUAUAUGCAAAUACUUAAAGGUUUGUUUCUUCCUUUCAAAACUUUAUAUCUUAUUUCCUUGUCAUUUAAUUGUCUAGGAAUUCCAGGCCAAUGUGGAGCAAUCAUGGUGGUCAUCAUUAUCUUAUUCCUAAUACCAUUAGGAAUAAUUCUCUUAUUUCUUAUUUAAGUAUGAUUUUGCUCCAGUUUCCAGCUGGCAUUCAUUAUCAAGGAAAGAAAAUUUUUCUUCUAUUUCCAACUUUGUAGGAGUUUGUUGAGAAUGGGUGUUAAGUUUCAUGAAUUAAUUUUUCUGCUCUGUCAAAAUGAUCAUAGAAUUUUUCCCUUUUAGCUCAUUGAUUUAACACUGUUUUGAAAUGUUGAUCCAACAUUAUUUAUUCUUAGGGAAUAAAUUCUAUUUGAUUUUUGCCUUUAUAGUAAUGAUACUUUUAAAUUGCUUAUACAUCUAGGAUAGGCAGUAUGAUUUGCUUGAAGACUGCUUAGCGGGCUUCUCUGGCUCUUUUUGUUCUGUUAUUUUGCUUCUGGUUUUAUUAGAGAUUAUAUAAGAGAAACUCAGGGUAUUUAGGAUAUAGUCUUAACUUUUUAAAGUUGACAUCAUAGAGUACAGUUCAGGCUGGUGAUUGGUGCCUGUCAGAAACACAACCAUACAUUUGAGAUGGACUGAGGGGUUGGUAAUGGUCUGACCAUGACUCAUGAGAAUACUGAGGAGUUUAUACUCACAUGAGAAAACAAGGAAAAGUGCAAACAAGGGUAAGAGUGAAGAGACGACAGCGCCGUGGAGUUAGAGAAUCCAGAACCCAGGACACAGGCAAGAGGCUAAUGAACCUUUGGUUUCCAUGACAACUAGAGAUGGCUUCUCCAUAAUGCUAAUGAAGCUGAUGCUUCCAGGCCUCUCACUUGCACAGACUCCUUCUGAGGCCCUGCUCUUCCUUUUACAUUUGUAAUUUUGCAUAGUUUUCCUUAAAGAGAGAUCUUAGGCUUUAUAAACUUUAGACCCCACAGAGCUUGAAGUGUCCCCCUCAUGACAACUCCAGGUAUGGCUCGUAUGCCAGUUACCAAGCCUGGAACAGUGCUCUGAGAGUCCCCCCACCCUCCUUUUUUUGGCAGCCCUGAUAAUUCUCUCAGUUUAACGAUUAAAGUGGGGGGCAGAUUAAAUUACUCUGUUGCUUCCCAGCUGGGUGGGGGAACUGUGGCCUGACAUAGAAGCCGGUGGGUGUCACGUGGAGCAAGUGCUCAGCUCGCUCACACUUUUCUCCCCGUGGGGGCACGUGACCAAAUUCAUUAUUAACGCUGAGCUGAUCUGGUUACCUUGAUUGACACUAAGUGAUUUCAGCCUGGGCUAUAUUUGUCUUCGUGGGGAAAAUGAGUGCCGUGGAGCUGAAAGGUUAUUUCCCUCUUCAAAUACGUUUGGGGCUGUCACUGUGGAGCUCCGCACCCUGACAUCAAAAUCAGACCCACGGGCUUUGGAAGACAGAAAAUGACAUCAUGGGCAAAAAAUGGUGUCAGCUUAGUUUUGUUUUUUCAUUCUCUUUCUGAACUCUGACAGAGGAGUAGUUUGUCUAGAAUUUGCAAGACUUUCACACAAGGAAAAAGAAUUAGUGCUAGCUGUACUUGUUUGCACACACGAAAAAUAGUUUCCAGGACAUAUUUUUUAGCCCUUGUGGUGUCUUUGUUACUACUAAGCUUAAUUAAUUUUUUAUUUGUUAAGGCUUUGGUAUCUAAUUAAAAAGUCUAAUGAAUCAUUUAGCCUGCUAUUGAAUAAAAUUUUGAGCUCUUAGUAGAAUAAAAUAUUGCUUAAUGCAGUACUUUCUUUUGUUUUAGUACCAAAAAGAAAAAUAUGACUUAUAAGAAACUCUACCUUAACCCUUCCCAUGGUUGCUAAGCACACAAGACAAGUCUGUGAAUGACCUAACAGGAUUACAAUGCUCUGCUGUGUGCAUUCUGAAUGUGUGUAAGGUGUACAUUAAAGUUAGUAACAGACAAAUAUUGGAUCCUGCCAGCCCAUCACUUCAAUUAGGAAAUUUAAAUUAGAUGGAAGUGGAAUUUUAGUCUAAAGUGUCUAUAGUAACUUAAAGUGAACUAUUGCCUUGCCUCAUAGGAUUUAAUUUUUGGGCAAAGUAAAAAGUUAAGUCUAACAGGCAGUUGUUUUGAUGGAAGAUUCUCUGGCUUUGAGAAUAAAAGAAAGUGUUAGGAAAUAAAAAGUGGGCUGGGAGUAUAGCCUAGUGGUAGAGUGUGUGGCUAGCGUGCACAAGGUGCUGGUCAAGCCCCACUACCAAGAGAAGGAAGGAAAGAGAGAAAGAAGGAGAAAAUAAAGAAAAAGAGAAGCCCUCCCCUCUGUCAUGCUCUGGUUCUAACACAUGUAUCUGGUUCUCUCCUACUGCUAGUUUAGGGAGAAGGAAUCUUCUUGCAGGGCCCACAGGGGCAAUUUGGGGGGGUCAGAGAUGCGAUAAAGCUCAUUCCAACAACUACCUGCCUUUGGAAAUAGUUCUUAUGCCAGAUAAGUCUGGGGAGUGGGGAGGCAGAGCCCAUGGUUAGCUUCAAGUCAAUUCUCAACUACCAAAUCGGCUCCACCCUCUUGGAUAUCUGCCUUCUCUCCAGGGGCCAUAAUGAUGGGUUGGGCUGGUUCAACAUUAGCAGAGAAAUGGGAGGGAGUGCCCACUGACUGAAGGAGAAUAUGUCAUGAAAACAUGGUUUCUUUUAUAUAGAGAGGCAAAUAAAAAUGCAUGUAAACAAGCAUUUUUUAUUUGAACAUUAAAUUUUAUUGGUACGGAGCAUGUAUUUUGUUAUACUGGUGACUAAUGCCCUUUAAAAAUGAGAUUUUGAAAUGCCGUUCUGCUUAUGUAACUGAGAUAAAGAGCUUUUGGAACACGGUUCUGGUGUGAACCCCUAUAAUAAUAGCUGAUUAGAAAUAAGACAACUUGAGAUGCCAAAAUGUUUUCUGCAGAGCCUUCUAUUAAGUCUAAAAAAAUUUUUCCAGAAAUUUUAUCUAAAUGGUGUUUGUCUGGGAAAGUUUUCCAACUAGACUUCAAAAGUCAUCAGUUUGGAUAUUUUGGAGUGCAAAAAUAUUUAUUUAUAUGUAGAUACCUUGCUCAGUCCCUAUUUCCCUGUCCAAUGUGGUUAAUAGGGGUCUAAUUUAUCAAACAUCUAGUUAAAAAUGAAUUAAUUUGUGAAAGAAAGAAGAGGGAAAAUCCAGGAAUGAAAGUUAAUAAACAUAAAUGAAGUUGUUUAUUGCAAAAGAAAAAAAAAUGUCUUAACCCUGACUGUAUCGCAGACUUUGAUGAUGACCCAUAAUCCUAAUUUGCCCUGAGUGAGAGAAUGCUUUUUAGACUGCAAAUGAAUUCCUGGAUGUUAGCUGUCAUGACAACGAUGAUGCACAUCGCACUUAUGGGAGUACACUUGUUCGUGGAAAUAACAGGAAGAGCCAAAGAGGCAAAGUAAAUUUAGUAAAUACUUUCUAAAAAGAAAAGAAACAAUAAACGUUUUCCAAGUGAAUAUUUUCCCAGGUUAGUGAUUUUCUUGUACCAGAAAACUUAAGGAUCGUGGAGCUGCUAGCCACACGUGGAGUCACAGGGGUUGGUGCUCUUGGGCUGCUCUGGGACCCCAGACCUGGCUUCCCUUGCAGAGGCUCAUGUCCUAACAUCAUUCCAGCCCCUGAGAGCUCUGGACCCAGGCCACCAGGGAAAGCCUUCCAAGUUUUAGAUUUUCAUAAGGGUCCUAGUAUCUGCAAAGUAUGUGUAGUGAAAAUAAAAAGUGAUUGGAUUCUAUUAACACAAUGCAAAACCAGCACUAAUUUCACAGGAGAAAGAGUCGGAUUUUGGUUCAGCUCCAUUUUUGAAGUUGAUGUAAUUCAGGAUAAUUUUGUUUUCAUCAAAUUGUUCCUGAUUCUGAGUUGAGGUCCAAUCGGUGUUCUGUCCCAAAAUAAAACAGAACAAAACACUCUCAGUUUAUUGUAUAAUACGAAAGCUCGCGGUCUUUGAAAACAGACAACACUGAGAUUGAAUCUGGGUUCUGCAACUGCAUGUUUGUUUCAGUUUUCUCACUUAUGAAUGGGCAAAAUGAUACUUUCUUUCCUCUACAUUGUGAGGAUUAAAUGAGAUAAUAUAUGGAAAUCAUCUGGCACAUAGUAGACACCCAAUUAAUGUUCACCCUUGUCCUUCCACACCUCUUUUGGGGGAGCCCUUUCCUGUUUGGAUAAAUCAAAAUUUUCUAGCAUCUGAGGACUCUUAACAGCUCUUAUUAACUUACAAAAGAUUUUCUCGACUAUUUUUGCAUUUCUAAGUUGUCAAAUCAUAAAAAUGGUGUUUUGAUUUGACAUUGCUCUCAGGGUCCCCACAGUCCUUCACAGUCUGAAUAUCAUCCAUGGGGAAGACCAAACAGGUUGGGAAGUCUCUGUGUGGCGAUGCUCUCACCUUCAUUUGCUAAGCUGCUUCCUCUUCUCUACCCAUUUGUUUUUCACUCCUGGGUUCCUCCUGGAAGAAGGAAAGAGUUCUAUAAACCCAGGCACUCUGAGCUCCUGCCUUAAAAGGAUGUGGGACAGAAGGAAGACUGUUAGGGGAAGAUGCUUUGGAGAAGCAGGGCAUUCCCUGAACCCCAGAAUGCCACCACGCAGAGGGUGACCUAUUUCCUGCCAGCUCUACCAGAAGGUAUAAGAGAUGGCUAAGGAGGGAUCUUGGCCUGAUCAAAUUCAAGGUUAUUCACGGAUUCAACCAAUGUUUACUGAGCACUUUUCCCUCCAUUGCUGCACGGUAACCACCAUGAAGAACCCAUUGUUUAAGUCCUACUGCGGCAGGACUCCGUGGAUAAGCUGCUGGGAGAAGCUGACGCCCUGAAACUAUGUGCAAAACAGACGUGCAUCGCAUAGGCCUUUGUGCAUUUCUGGGGAGAACAUCCAGAACUCUCAUUAGCUUCUCAGAAUGUGAGGAACCACCUGCUGCUUGUGAACUGAAUGUUCUCCUUGUACUCUGCUGGGGCCAGUGGGAAUCUUGGCUCUCGGAGUCCCUCCUGAGUCUCCAGAUGAUAAAAUACCACCACAGAGGGUGCAUUCACCUUUCCAUGAAAGCUGUGCCCAGUGACUGUGGCAUUUGCUGGACUUCCUUCGAACCCCUGCUCCCUGGACCAUCCCCCUGGUAACAGGCUGGCUUGCAUUCAGCUAGAGAUAAAUCAUUUUCCAGCCAACUGGUACUAAGCCAUAUCUGGGUAAACACUGCAGAAAGAGCACGGAUGAGGCCCCAGAGGGCCAGGCCUAGCCACCUUAGCCAGGCCGCUCAAGCCUUGCUCUCCAAUUGGGAUGGGAGCUUCUGCUGGCAGGGCCCUGGCUUCCUCCCUCAUUGCACCCUGCACAAUGCCUGAUACCACGGAGGUGCUCAGUUCACAUUUGUGGACUUGAAGUAAAAGGGGCAAGUAAUUCUUGCCCCAGGCUGGGGGAGGAAUACCAUUUAAAUAAGCAUGAAUUGCAAGUCAGGGGCUCAGGGACUGUAGCUCAGAAGAUGGCAAAGGAUCUUUGGCUCACGGGCCAGGUGAAUUGGUGGGGAACCAGAGAAGCCUCUAUGGAGGAGAAGCUGUAGAGGUGGGACUUGAAGAGAGGCCGAAGGUAGCCAUGGGAAUGUGAGAGCAAAGUGCACCUGGGGACGGAGGGGCGGAGCCAGAGCGUUGUUGCCAGGAGAGCCUAGAAGAGAGCAGCCAAGUGGUGGUGUUCAGUCCUUAGACACCCACAGCUCUGCAUCCCUCUUGUGCAGCAGAGGAGGGCAGGGUGAUGGGCUGUCCGCCUCAGCCACACCACAGAGCUGUGGCUGGACCCAGGUUUUGUGGAUUCUUGGGCCGAGGCCCCACAGCAGAGCUGCCCAAUGAGGCUCAGUGCUGUGCCGUGUUCUGCCUUUUCCCAGCCAAAUGGCCUCAGUGUCAGCAGAAGGUGACAGAUCAUGGCACUCACACAGAUCAGUACGGAAGGCGGGCAGAGAGCAGAUCUAUAAUUACCUAGGCAGCUGACGGGCUUUUCCCAGGGGAUCACAUUUCAGCUUAUGCCGUCAUUUAUAAGCCCAGUUUGACUCUGGUAAUGAAGUCAGGCAGUGUUAUUGGGUUUGAGAUUAGAUUUUGUUUUUUCUCUUCCCACUCCCCCUCUCACCUGCUUUCUCCAAAUUUCACUUCAUCUGUCUCCAUCUGGUCUCUGGCAUUUUCCAGGUUGUAACUCUUUAUCACAGAGGCUACAUUCUGUGGGGAAAGGCUAGUCAUUGGAAUUGUUGCUGAAUAACUUCCAUGAGACUCAAUGUCUCUUUUAAAAAGUGUCUCUCUUCCUCCAGGGGGUCUUCCUGGAUUGUCUGUCCCUAAGAUUUUGCUUCCUUUAUUAUGGCCAUGCCGUGGGUGGUUCUCUCCUUUUGUAGAUGAUUCUAAAGGAUCAUAGAGAAUAUUCAGGACCUAGACCUUUUAAAACAUCCGUUCUUCAGCCACCCUUUUACAUAGGAAUGGGGUAGUGGUGGUGGGAAUUCUGGAGUACCUUCUCAGAGUCUGUAUGGGAACUGUCUCCUCCAUCAGCCUGGGUGCUUUGUUUGGUCCUCCCAUUCUUUUUCUCCAGAAUGCUCGUUCAGGGGUGCAGGGGUGAAGGCUGGGCUGUGCAGUGGGUGGGUGGAGGGCUACAUGUGUGUAUGCCCGUGUACACAUGCAUGCAACCCAAGCCCCACAGCCCACUUCCCGGCAGGAAUCUAAGCAUCACUGAUUAAGGCAGUGGGCCCCGGAAGGAAGGGUUUGUGCCUGAAAGCCCUGGGGUCCCUUGGCAUGUGUGGACACUGCUGUUGCUGUCCUCAGCUCAGAGGGCACCCUCCUGAGGGAAGGCUUGCAACUCUCCGCUGCUUGGCUCUUGUGGGGUGGGGGCAGCCCAGCACAGGGGACGGAGGCAGAGAAUGACCCCUGGAGCCUGCCCCACUUCACCCCUGCCCCAGGAGGUGUCUCCUCUUGAGACCCCUUCACACUGGGCCACAUAGUCCCUCUGGGCUGUGCGCUAUACUAGCCAGGAGAGGAAGGCUGGUCCAGAUAAGGGUAAGUGCUGAGCCAAGGCCCAGAGGCGGCAGCAACACACGGACAAUUACAUAUUUUCUUAUCCCAAAAUUGAAUAGAAAUUGCAAAGGGUACAAUUUCUUUUUUAUACAAAUACCUUUAUUUUAUUUAUUUUUUUGUGGUGCUGAGGGUCAAACCCAGUGCUUCAUACAUGCCAGGCAAAUAUUCUACCACUGAGAUACAACCCCAGCCUUUUGAGAGUGCAAUUUCUGCCAUAUUGAAAAUUAAGCAGUUAUAAAAUAAAUCAUUUUCAAAUGCCAUCACUAUUUAAUGCAUUCAAUAGAAUAUAAAUACCAUAGCAGUUUGACAUUCACCAUGACCUGUUUAAAAACAUAACAGCAAGCUCUUCUUUCGCCUUCAGAAAUUUUACGUUGUUCCUAUUUCUCCUUGAAUCUGCAAUUUCCAUAAAAUUUUAUCCUACUCUGUUUAUAUUCAUUCCUCUGUCAUUCAAAUGUAUGCAUAUUGUGAAAUUAAUUUUACAAAUUUACUGUGAGCAUGAGCUCUAAUUGUUAAAAAUUUUUUUCUAGAGUAUCCAUUAAAAUAAUUUUUAUUAUGUAAUUGAUCAAAAUGCUGCAGAUACAAUGCAAUUUUUAAAAGAUAACAAAAAUACAAUAUUAUUAGAAACUCACCUCUUAAUGACAUGGAAGAAACUUUCUUUUCUCCCAUGUGCUCUUCUGGUCCUGAAUGAAUAUUACUUAUUAUUAGAAUAACAUGGUACAGAGCUUCAAUUCUAUUCCUAUUUUUUUCUAAUAGAUAUGCUGAGAAAAAUGUGCCCACAAAAAUAUGAUGGGCAUAAUAGGAGUUUUGUUAUAGUGUGACACUCAAUUCUUUGAACCCCUUUCGAGUUGUAUAUCAAAAUCACACCAAAAAUCAUUUUUAAUGAUCUAUCAGCUGACAGUCCAAUUAGGUACUGAAUCAAUUUGGUUGUGUGAAAGGGAUGGAGAGUUACCUGACUGGGAAAAUUUAUUAGUCUUUAUAUUCAUUCAGAUUUCAAAUUUCUGGAAGGUAUAUCAAAAAGGUUCAGAUAUGAAUUAUAUCUGGUCACAGUUUCCCCAUAACAGUGCCUUAUUUAACCUGGUAUGUUCUGAAAGAGAAAAAUAUUUUUGUUAAUGUACCUUACAAAUGCAAAGUUUUUCUUUUAAUAAAAAGUUUCUAUAAACACACCCUUGGAGCUGCAGAUUAAGCUCAUUUGAUUUUUGGAUUUUGUCUACCUUUUAACUAAAUUAGUAAACCUUGCCAUCAAACCAAGUGGUCCAAUCAGACUGACUCUCAGUCAGAUUGCAUUUUGUAAUCCAAGUAAAUGUGUCAACAUGCAUCCCAGAGAUGGUCUCAUUUUAUGAGUUCUAUUUCUGGUAGAGUGAGAGAUCAGGCACAGAGGCUUGCCCUGUGUUUGUCACUGUGGGAAAUAAGGCCUUGCCACCGUUAGCAUUUCUCUAGUGCUCUCUCUGCCCCACUCUUGGGGACUCUCCCACAUACACCACUCUUACAAGACAGGGGAUGGAAGAGUUGAGAUUAUUAAAUGAAUGUGUCUUAAAUUGUCACUUAGUUUGAUGUACUGGAGGCUUCCGUCUCCUGGGAACAAUGUACCAUAGUAAUUAAGGCUCGGGAUGGAUUAGAGAAAUCCCUUGCUUUUGUGAAGUGCAAUUGUGAAAGGGGAGUGGGAAAAGAAACCCCACAGGAGCUUUGACUAUGAGGCAUUCUCAGGCAGAUGUUUUGGAAAAAAUAACCAUAGAAGUUGAAAAUCUAGAAUUGGAUUCGCUUAAACCUAUGUGUCCACAUAUCUUCUGGAAAGUCUCAAGUUACCGGUAAUAUACGUCAUGCCUUGGUUUGAAGGCCACUAACCUAACCCAAAGAAGCAUUGUGGCUGGCCCUGCAGGAAGGUUACAUUGGUCCUCACCUCUCAUUUCUAAUGUCAUUCACCAAAUAUUUGUUGAGAGCCAGACACUAGUCUGGAUCUUAUGGGGAAAAGUAUACUCUGCUCCUGUCCACACAUUGAAGGGAUUCAGGAAAUAAACCCCAAAUUUGCCACUUUGUUAUAUGGAUUACUUUGAGCUGAGAGUUCUUGAAAAACAGCAAAUGCCAAGAGGUGUCUACUUGUUGGCCUCUUAAUUUAUUUGGUCUGGAAGUAGGUUGAAUAAUGCCCUCCCCAUUCAUGGCUACGUGGAACCCCAUAAUGCAGUCUUAUUUGGAAAUAAGUUCUUUGCAAAUGUAAUUUGUUAAAAGAUCUUCAAUUGAUAUCAUUGAUUUAUUGUGAAUGGUAAUCCAAUGGUGGGUGUCCUUAUAAGGAAAGGAAAGACUACAGACAGAGAAACACAGAGCAAAAGGUCAAGUGGAGACAGUCAGAUCUGAGAGUCACCUGCCACAAACCAAGGAUCACCUGGGGCCACUGGAAGCCACAAGAAGCAAGGGAGCCUUCCUCAUUAGAGCCUUCAGAGAGCAUGGCCCUGCUGACAUGUUGACUUUGUACUUGUAGCCCCCAGAACUUGAAAGAACAAAUUUCUGGUUUUUUAAGCCUUCCAGUUUGUGGUACUUAUUACAGCAGCCAUAGGAAACUAAUACAGUCUAGAAUGCAGUAGUUCUCUCAAUUUAUAAUCUUUUUUACUUUUAGGUUAGAAUUUUGAUUAUUCUUCAAGUUUCUUCUUCACAUUACCUAUAAUUCACAAGUAGAAUUUCUUGUCUUUCAUUUCUCUGGGGUCUCUCUCAUUGUUUUCAUCUCUUUGUCCUUUCCCUGUAUGUUCAGAGAGAGUUUCUGAAAUGUCAGGAAGAAUCAUUGAAGACUGAAAUGGGCAAAAGAUUACUGGGUGGAACAGUAAUAACGGGACAUUGAAUAUCAUGUGGGAGAUCUCUUCAAGAUUAUGUGGUCAUAUAAGUCCCUUAGAAUUUCUUUUCUUUGCUCUAGGUCAUGUUAUGACUCAUAAUAUGUAGAAAACUGGUAAUUUUGGAAAUGAUUCCUGUUAAUGGAAAUGGGGAAAGGAAGGAGGAACCCAGUGGGACAAGAAGGAGGCCUGAGUACCUGUGGGUUCCCAAAAAAAAAGUGUCUACAGAAUCCUACCUUCCUCCCAAACAACUGCUUCUUUGAGGACUGGCCCCAUGCCUACUGGAAUCCUUAAUUUUCCCCUAUCAUCUUGACUGUCACUCUUAAAUGAUUCACUAGGUCUUAAUGUAGCUUAAGCAUUUGCCAAAGUGCACAAAAAGAAAAAAAAAAUGGUUCCUGGAAUUUUGGUCUUUUAAUCACUGCUCCAGACUGGUUCUGGGAACUGACAGGCACCAUCUGCAAAAGGUUUUUGGAGGAAACGGGUGGGAAGAGGGGUGGGUGAGGUCCUCAGGAAGAAUAUGUCCCCAGAUUCAUUAGCACAGAUGAGUCUGCCGUCCCCUAAACUGAGCAACCGCUGUGAGGAGAAAACCAGGCUGUGGUGUCUUCUCCAAGCCUGGAUAUUUUAACUUCAUUUCCAGACUCAAUCUUGCCACUCCUUUCUUGAUUUAUUUUCUUGCUUUUUUGGCUGUUGUCAUAGAAAAAUAUGUUCUCUUUUCAAACAAACAGCUCUGAAAAAGAUAGGACAGGAGAGAGGUCUCAUUUUUAGCCUCAUCUCUAAGCUUCCAGAAGAUAAGCCACUCUUUCCAGUCCCAGGCUCUCGGCUUCACACUAUGGUCCUGGCACAUGAGGUCCGGCCAAGUUCCAUCUUCCUUGUGGGGUCCUCCCUGGCCCCCCUGAACUUCUACUUCACUCUCCCCUUCACGGUUUAAUUUAAUUCUAGACUUAGGUGAAUUAAUUAAAUAAAUUAUAUAAAUCUUCUGGUGAUAUGGAAUUCCCCUUUUUUCCAGCUAUAAACACCUAGCAGCAAGAAUCGACUCUGGCUUCCUUUCCUUUCACCAUGGCCUUUAGCAUGACACUGGACUCUGGUAGGAGUUGAUAGAUGACUUGACCCGAAUUCAGGCCUUGCCUGACCUUUUGAAAUACUAUAGCAUGAUUUACAUUUCCAAGGUUAGGCGAAGGGCACUGGGAAGUGGGCAGACUUCCAUCUCCCCAGAUGCCCCACAGGAUCAUAUCAUAGGGAAUUAUACCAGAGUGUUACUCCAAAACUCCCAGGUGGGGGCCUGGCACUGAGGCAUUAACUAUUCUACCCACCGUAGGAUAAAUUGUUCAACCUACUGUAAGUUUCUGUGCACUUGUAGAAACUUCUUUGUGCUUGGGCAUCUGGGGCUGAAAUUUCUUCCCCAGUUCUUCAAUCCUUCUCUCCGGUUAAGUGAGGGCUCAUCAUUUCUCAUUUUCUCUCUGGCUGUACCCCAUUUCUCCUUCCUAUGUCUUCUCUGGAUUUUAGAGAAAGUAUAUCCUCACGAGCUUUGCCAAUCAUCUUUCCUUUCCUUCAAAAAAUGCUUUCAAAUCUUUUCUUCCCCAGAAAGUCCUUCAUGACUGAGCUGAGGGAAGAGAAAAUGGUUUUUAUUUUUCUUGUGCAAAUUUUUCUGCUGUGGUUAGAUUGAGAAAACACCAAGCUCAGUCUAUAAUGCGAUCAUUCUUUCAUAAAUAAGGAUAUUACUUCUUUAAUUCUAUUUUGCUCUGGGUCUAGGUCUUGGACCUUCCUCAAGUUUCCCUGAGCGUGUGCUUUUCUAGAUCAGCUAAGUCUCAGAAUGGGCUUUGAGGCUAAGAUGUCCCAGUAUUUAGGACAGUUUGUUUUCUGUGUCUUCACUUCCUCUACUCUUUGCGCUCCUCCUUCUGUAGGGUCUCUGUCCCUGACUUCUCUCCUCUCCUGUUCAUUCUGCCUCUUAAGAAAUGAGUUGUACCAAGACCCAAAUACAUUGUUUACUUGUCAGAGGGCAGGUGAUGCAGAGAGGAGCCAGGUGAAAUCAAUUCACCAAAGCCCAUGAAGCCAAACCAGAGACUGAAUGGCAGUAAGAGCAGGGCCAUUUUGGGGCACAGGGCUUUCCUAGUACCUCACAAUGGCACCUACCGGGUCUUUACUCUUUUAGACGCUUUGCCAAACUGAGCUGCCCUGGUCUUGUUUGGAGUGGACUUGGCACCAACUGAAUCUAGAAUAUUUGCACUGACAAUCUUAUAACAGAAUCGAUUUGAAAAUUAUAACAGAAUCAAGCAGAAAGUUCUAGAGUUGAAAGGAAGGUUAGACAUCCUCUAACCUGGAUGGAGUGAGUGGUGCCUCACUCUGCUGAUGAGAAACUUCAGCCCCAACAGAAAUGAAGAAUGGUCCUUCAGUUUGCUAGGGCAGAGCUGGGUCUACAGCUCCAAUCUCUUGAUUCUCACUCCAAAGCUUGCUUUUUUACUCCACUUUCUCUAGUUCUCGUGGCCAUACUUGUUUGUUUAAUUUUUCUAUAUGAACUUUAGAAUCAGCUUUUUUAGUUACAUACACACACACACACACACACACGUCCUGUAGGUAUCUCUAUUGAGUAGUAUUUGAUUUAAAAAUAACUGAACAGAGAAUUGACAUUUUCAUGAUGAUGUAUCUUCCCAUCUAAGAAUAUGGUACACAUUUUCAUUUUCAAAUCCCCUUUUAUAUUUUUAAAGUUUUUUAUACACUUCUUAUACUUUAUAAGGAUUAAUAACAGCUAUUUUAUAUGUUAGUUGCCAUUGAAAAUAGAGCCUUUCAUUCUACUAUAUCUUUUAACCAGUCCUUACUUAUAUAUAUAUAUAAAGAUGAUUGUUUACAAUAUUAAUUGUAUAACUUGUUUCACUAUUGAAUUCUCUUGUUUCCAACAGUUUUUCAGUAGAUUAUCUUGGAUUUUCAAGAGAGAAUCAUGUUAUCAUGAUCAUUUUGCCUCUGACUUUUAUACCAUAUACAAAAGUUGCUUAAAAUGACAGAAAAUUAAAAACUUUUUUUGUUUAAAAGGAUACCCCUAAGAAAGUGAAAAGACAAUACACAGAAUGGGGGAAAAAAUUUUAAAGCAUAUAUCUAAAGGGAAUUUGCAUCUAGAAUAUUAAAGAACUCUUAUAACUCAAUAAUAAAAAUACACAUAAUCAAAAGCAAGUAAAGGAUCUAAACAGGUGUGUCUCCAAUGCGACUAUACCAAUGACCAAUAAGCACAUGAAAAGAUGUUUAACUCAUUAGCCAUCAGGGAAAUGCAAAUAAAACUACAAUAAAAUACCAUCGUAUACCUGCAUAAUCAAAAACAUAGAUGAUAACUACUGUUGGCAAGCACAUGGAGAAAUCAAACCCUCUUCUGCUGGUGGUAGAAUUUAAAAUGGUGGUACUAUUUCUGAAAGCAAUCUAUCAGUUCCUGAAAUAGUUAAAUAUAGGGUUACCAUAAGACUCAACAAUUCCACUCCUAGGUAUCUCCCUCAGAGACGUGAAAACAUGUCCAUACCAAAACUUCAAAAAUAAAUGUUCACAGCAGCAUUAUUUAUAAUAAUCAAAAAGCAGAAGCAAUCCAAAUAUCCAUCAACAAAUGAAUUCAUAAAUAAAAUGUGCUACAUGUGUACAACGUAAUAUUAUUCAGCAAUAAAAGGAAAUGAAGUUCUGAUAUAUCCUAUGACAAAGUGGACCUUGAAAACAUUAUGCUAAGUGGAAGGAGCCAAUCACAAGGGACCACAUAAUAUAUGAUUCUAUUUGAAUUAAGAGAAGCAGAAAAUAGAUUAGUGGUUACCUGGAGUUGGAAGGGGGAUGAGGGAUGGUAAGUUGGGGGAUGGUAGCCAAGGGGUGUGAGAUUUAGAGGGGUAGUGAAAAUGCUAUUCUAAUAUUGAUGAUAGUGAUAGAUGCCAUUGAAAUGCACACUUAAAAUGGGUGUAAAUUUUGUAUUGUGCAAAUUAUAUCUCCGUAAGGUUGUUUGAAAUUGUGCCAAGGAAAGCUGGGCACCAAUUUUGGAUCUACAGUGCAUGUAUGUAUGUGGGGGGGCUGAUCCUGGUAUUGGCAUCAUAAGAGAUAAGGGUAAAGAACAAGAGCUCCAUCUCAGAGAAAGGGGAAGGGCACUAAAUGCCAAGUUAAGAAAAAUAUAGUGUAAUGGUUGACAUAUAGAUAGGUGUCCAUCCUGGGUCUAAUCUAUAAAUGAGGGAAAGUAAGCUGCCGUUUCCUCAAAAUCAUGCAGCUGGCUAGUGGCAGUCUCAGGAUCAAACUUUAGAAGCCUGACAGCAGAGUCCUCCUUGUUAGGCAACAGUGACCCCUCAGAGCAUGAGGACUUAUGUUUUAAAUCUACCAUCUGGUGGCCAUCAUCCUCAAGCCAAAGGGGUGUGGCCUUAAUACUCUCUUCCCUUCACUAAGCCUGUGGUGUGGAGUCCCCAGAGGCUUCCUGUCUUGGGUUGGAGUUAGCUGCUCAGGGUCCCUGAGAGGAGUCACAACUCAUCCAUGGACAUCUUCUGGGGAUUCAUAGUUACUAGCUGAGCUGGGGGAACAGAAGCCAGAGAAAUAAAGGGUAGUGAGAGCAAAGUAUGGGGCACAUGAAAACCCCCCUCCAGUCCCAACAAUGAUGAACUUCAGCAUCUGGAAAUUUUGCCUGAGCUCUUCCUCAUGGGUUCUCAGGAACCUCCGAAUCUAGGUUGGUAGCUCAGAGGCCUCCACCUGGACAGCAGUGGCAUGGGCUGGAUGUAGAUGUGUUUGGCUUCCCUGGGUGACCUCAAUACAAAACACUACAUUCCUCAGUAGGCCUGGGGACUUCUCCCUUAUUUAAGAGGCAGACGAACUCCCUGCCCUAACUCCUCACAUGGGCCUUCCACUGACACUGGGUAAACUAGGAACCCAUCAAGGCCCAGUGCCCCAUGGAGUCACCCCCAGCGGGGUGCAGGGAAGAGCAGUGACCUGAGCCUCUCUCCACCAGCCCAGCCUCUGAACCCUCCUCCCAACCCCCAAGUCCCACCAGGCUGUCCCACCGUGUGGGGGAGGGAUGGGGAGAUGUCCAGGCAGAGGUCAGGCAGGGGGAGGGAUAUCAGCAGAGGACUAGGGCAGGAAGGUGUUGACUGGAUGUCGAACAGGAGGGAGAGCAUAACCAAUGCAGGGAGAAAUUUGAGAAAAGGUGAAGGUGGAAUUUGUGAAGCUGGUAGGCACAGGUACAGGUGUAGGUGGCCCCUCUCCCUGGUAGCCUCAGCUUGCUCUGAGCUAUCUUGGGUUUCCCUCUGCCCUCUCCUCUGGUUUGUUCUCAGUUUUACCUGGGUUUAUGUAUCAGCUCGGUUGCUUACUGCUUGGGGAUACACAAUUCAAAGGCAUUAAGUACAUUCGCAGUGUGGUGCAGCCGUGGCCACGACCCAUUUCUAGUACUUUUUCAUCAUCCCAAAUAGAAACUCUGUUCCGAUGAAGCAAUACCUCCCCAUCUGUUGCCCGCCCCCCAGCACCUGCUCACCUUCAGCCUCUUCUCUGUCUCUAGGAAUUGGGCUGUUUCACAUCAUGGAAACAUACAGUAUUUGCUCUUGACUGUGUGGCUUAUUUCACUUAGCAUGAUAUCUUCAAGGAUCAUCCAUGUGUCAGACUUUUCAUUUUUUAAAGAUAAGAAUAAUAGCCUGUUGAACAUAUAGACCACGGUUUCUUUUGUUGGGGGAUUACUGGGGAUUGAACUCAGGGGCAUUUGACCACUGAGCCACAUCCCCAGCCCUAUUUUGUAUUUUAAGUAGAGACAGGGUCUCACCGAGUUGCUUAGCAUCUUGCUUUUCCUGAGGCUGGCUUUGAACUCGUGAUCCUCCUGCCUCAGCCUCCUACGUCUCUGAGAUUAUAGAUAUGUGCCACCAUGCCUGGCAAGACCGAAUCUUGUGCAUCCAUUAAUGCACAUUUGGUUUCAGCUUUUGUCUAUUAUAACUACCAGAGUUAUAUAUGCUCAUCUGUUUGUUCUGAGGGUCAGAACCCAGACUCUGGGAACUCCUCUGCCUGAGACCUGUCUUUUGCUUACUACUCUGGAUGUUGGUGAACAUCUUAACCUCUAAGUGUUUCAGUUUCUCACCUGCAAGAUGGAAGUUUCAAUUUGUUGCAAGGAGGAAAUGAGUCAAUAUGUAUGAAGCAGCUCCAGUAAUUUCUGGUGCCUGGUCAGCAUUUCAGAAGGUUAACUGUUACUGUGCUGGGAGUUCAUGUUUAGGUACCACCUACAGUGAGACCUAUUGGGGGACCCAAGUUUCUAACUCUGAGAAUUGGUGGUCAAAAAUGAAGAAUUUAGGAAAAGAAAGUGUUAGAGGUGGAAGUGGCUUUGGGGAUCACCUACUCAAACCUCCUCCUUUUAUCAGUGGGGAAACUGAGGCCCAGAGAAGAGGCACCCAGAGUGACAGAGGCAAAGCUGCAGCCAGACCCCUGCACCCAACCUCCAGACAGGGCCUCUCUGGGCCUUUGGUCUUAUCUGAGACACAAGGCCAGCAGUUUGCUGAGCUCUGCACAACACAUGUCCUUUGUCUUCCGACUUCUGCAUGCCUGGGGUUGGGGGAGUGUCUCCACCUAGGACGGUCUUUUCUGGUAGGAGCAAGGAAUGGACAGGAGGAGCCCAGACCUGGCUGGCCCACUGGUGGCGAGACUUUGGUUAUUUUAGGAUUAGCAACCUGCUCUGGGUAAGCACAUCUGUUGUUGGGGUGUUUGUGUUCUCUUUGUUCAUUUCAUUGAUUUUCUGUGAGGUUAUUUUUGGAGAAUUCCAACCUGUCUGAGCUUGGCAGAGGGGGACAACAGGAUUGUAGCCCACAUCUGGGCCAGAGAACAAGNGGCAGGUGUCUGCUAGAGGAUUCCUGAGAGGGAGGGUUGCCAGCUCCUGCCCUGGUUCUGACUCCCAGAGGAGUCUUGGGCCUGGUUAGGGUUCCCUCUGGACCUGAAGGAGCUUUGCCAGGUAGUCAUUGCAGGUAAUGGCAGAGCUUUGGAGGGAGUGUCCAAACUGGUUUAACACCCUUUUGGUAUUGCUCUCGUUUUGUGGGUUUCUUUCAUUCACCUGUUAAGGACCUGCCCUGCAUUAAUCUGUGUUCCCUGAAGAAUGAAAAGCCAGUUUGUUUGUUUAAGGGCUGUGCUCCUGCCUCUGGCUCUGGGAUCACCUGGUCUGCCCUCUGGCCGCAGCCCAUCAGCCCCUGACAGCAGACUAGGUGGAACUCCAGUGACGCAAAGUGCAUUUCAGCUGAUAUAAUAGGGGGCCCACACUUAGUCAAGUGACUGGAGGAAUCUGGGACAAUUCCUUGACUCAGAAUAUCCCCUCUCGACUAUACCUGAGGAACCUAAAUGGCACCAAAAGUCUGAGGUGGUAUUCCUUCUUCAAUCAACAUUUUUUUCAAUCUUUAAUAAUUUUUCAUUGUGUUAAAAAAGCAUGAAAAUCUAUCUUUUUAACAAAUCAACUGUAUAGUACAAUAUUGUUAACUAUAUGUCUAUGGUUUUUGCAGCAGAUCUCUAGAAUUUUCUCAUCCCACGUGACUGAAACUCUAGCUAUUAAACAGCAACUCCCUGUGUCCCUCUCCCUUGAGACUCUGGCAACUGCUUUCAGCUUCUAAGAGUUUGACUAAUUUAGAUCCUUCUUACAAGUGGAAUCAUGCAGCAUUUGGCUUUCCAUGACAGGCUUAUUUCACUUAUGUCCUAUUUCUAUUUCUAUUCUUUCCAUUGGUCUACAUAUGUCUGUCCUUAUUCCAGUACCAUAUUGUUUUGAUUACUGUCAUUUUGAAAUACAUUUUGAAGUCAGAAAGUGUAAAGCUCCAGCUUAGCAUUUUCUCAGGGAUGUUCUUUUUUCCAAUUUCAUAUAAAUUAUAGGAUUGUUUUUUCUUAUUUCUGAGAAAAGAAUGCCAAUGUAUUUUUUUUAAGUAUUGCAUUAAAUCUGUAAAUUGUUUUGGGCUGUAUAGACAUUUUAACAAUCUUAAGUCUCUAACCCAUGGACACAUAUUGUCUACAUUCAUUUAUAUUUUUAAAUUUCUUUCAGCAGUGUUUUGUAUUUUCCACUGUGUAAGUCUGUAAAUUUAUUCCUAAGUAUUUUAUUCUUUAUUAUGUUAUUGAAAUGGAAUUGUUUUCUUAAUUUACUUUUGGAUUAUUUGUUGUUAGUGUAUUAAAAUGCAAUUGAGUUUUGAAUAUUCAUUUUAUAUUCUGCAACUUUGCUGAACUUACUAGUCCCCAGAGCUUCUUAUGUAUAAUCUGUAGUACUUUCUACAUUUAAGAUCAUUCCAUCUGUGAACAGAGUUAAUUUUAUUUCCUUCUUUCUUAUUUGGAUGCUUUUUUCCUUUUUCUUGCCUAAUUGCUCUGAUCAAGAUUCCUUGUACUUUGUUGAAGAGAAGUGGUGGGAAUGGACAUCUUUGCCUUGUUCCUGAUCUUAUGGAGAAGCAGACAAAGUCAAUCAACGAAUACCAAAUGCUAACUAUGGUCUGAAAGAGCUUGAUUUUUAUUCUUUCAAGCUUGCUUAUCUAAUCACUUCAUUAUUCUGAGCCUCAUUUUAACUCCUAUAAAAGAGAGAACUGUAUUAGAUGAUAAAGUCCUAUCCAAUUUCAAUGCUCUUUCUAAAUUUUAUGAUCCCAAGAAUAUUAUUUAGCACCUAUUAGAAACAUUCAACCAACAGAAGGUAUAAGAGAUGAAAUACUCAAUUCUUGAUCAAUUAAGAACAGAUAAAAAGCACUUAUAUAUGUGGUACUAGGCAAGAAAUAUCCUUGUUUCCUGCCCAGGAGGAGUCCACAAUCUGUAAGAAAGGUAAGGCAUAAAUGUGUAAGAAAUGCAGUAUCAGUAGGAGUGGCACAGGAGUGCCACACCAAAAGGCAGCACAUAACUCAUUGCCACAUGAAGGCACAGGAACAGUUUUAUGGGAAAGCUCAGAGUAGGUGUUGUGAUGACACUUCUUCCAACAAAAAGAUAUGGGGAGUGGGGUGGGGGGAGACAGAGAGAGACCCCCAGGAUGAAUGGCAUCUUGAAGAAUUAGGUCAGGAGUCCCAGGAGGAGAUUUGGCUGGAAUUGUUGGGAAUGGAUAUUGGAAAAGAUGUGCAAAUGGUGGCUAUUUGGUGGGGUUUGUGUCUCCUGCAUCCAUCCUUCUUUAUUUUGCAGUCUUCACUGGUUUCAUUCUAGGAGACAUCCCUUCCUCCCUCUUCAGCCCAUUAAAUAAGCAAGCUAGAAAGAAUAACUGCAUGUGAUGGGAGUAUCUGAUUCCUUCUCCUCAACCCAUAUGAUUGGUCCAUGGAUGAGCUUGUGGCCCAAUCACAAAGAAGGAACUUAUGCAAUGUGUGCUGGAGCUACUAGGAGGAAAAAAGUUCUCUUUCUCAUUGGACUUGAACUUGGAGUCCAUUUUGCCUACAGAUCUCUUGCCACCCAGGAGUACAGAGUCUAACAGUGGAGCCAAUGUAGAGGAAGCAAGUUAGAGAGAUAAGACCAGGUCCUAAAGACUUCAUGUGAGACCCUGCGUCAGGCCAUGCCUGAAACCAGCCAGACCUACCCUCUGGACUUUUUAACUAUGUAGUCAUAACAUUUCCUUUCUUCCUAUGUGAACUUGAGUUGGUUCUCUUGAAACAGAGAGCAUGUUGCAAGGUGAGCCUUGAACUAGAUUUGGGUGAAUAGAGGUGAACAAAGAAGGCAAUCUGGGUGUGCAGUGCCAUAUGAACUAGGGUAUUCAUGAGGGGAAGGAUGUGGUGUCCAUGAAGCUGUCCAUGAAGUCACAAACUGACUGCAAAAUGCCCUGCAAGAAAACACUUAUUUUAAUUUAUUUGUGUAAAUAUAUCUAUUUGGACAAAUUCAGUGGGAUCCACUAAGGAGUGGACAUUUUAGUUUCUAAAAAUGAUGGAACAACAACAAAUGUUUUACUAAACAUUUACUACAUGCGAGAUGUUGUAUUGUUUCCACUGAACCCUUUCAAUAGCCCAUAGGAUAUCAUCUCUCCAUUUUAUAGUGACAAAACUGAGGCACAAAAAAUUUGCCAAUGUGAUGGCACAUACCUGUAAUUCCAACAACUCGGAAGGCUGAGGCAGGAGGAUUGCAAGUUUGAGAUCAGCCUCAGCAACUUAGUAAGGCCCCAAGCAACUUAGUGUGAACCUGUCUCAAAAUAAAAACUACAAAAGGGGCUGGGGAAUAUAGCUAAGUGGUAAGUGCCUCUGGGUUCAAUCCCUAGUACCAUAGGAUUAAAAAAAAAGGCCAAGGUGACCCAGUUAAUAAAUGACACAGCUGGGGUUUGAACCAGCUAUAUGACUAGAGCCUACACUCCUAUGUACCCUCUUCUGCCUUUGUAAUGUGGCCUCUACCUCUACCCUUGCCUUCACCAUGGCAAGAGAAGGAAAGGGCCAGCUGUCACCUGGUGGGGUCAUGAGGAACACAGAAGGCAAAUCAUUUUUCCCAGGGUGGCCCUGAUCCCCCUGUUCUUUUUCACUGUUUUUCACCCAGUUUGCUCUUGGACAAACACUGAGAGUCUGGCCUGUCUGCCUUUGAUUAGCACAGUUGUUGGGACCAGCAGAUGCCUCCAGCUCAGGGACAGGCCAGGCUGCCAGCCUUCUGGGCUGAUGACACUCAGGGGAAGCCUUUCCUCCAGAUGAGCCCCCUUGCUGGCCCCUGGCUGGCUUCCUCCUCCCUCCCUGUCUCUCCGCCUCUAUCUCCCAUUCUCUUGAAUUGCCUCAGGAAAAGGAAAGAAGAACUGUUUUUGUGAAAAGAAGUUUAAUGAAACCAAACACUUGUAUUUCCAACUAUUGACAUUGGACUUGUACUUCUCCAGCUCUGCCGUUCGGGACAAGUCUUUCUCCGCCUCUCUUUGCCCGACGGUGUAAUGCAAACAGACCAUAAAAAAAAUAAACUUUCCCCCCUAAAUAUUAUCUUAGGCCUCAUUUUAUCAUGCUUCCUUCAACUGUUUCUGUGAAAGGGACCAAGAAAAGAAUGUAGGUUUUAGUUUGUGCCGGGCUGGCUGGAGAGGCCCCCUGGUAGGCUCUGCCAGCAGGCACUCUCGGCCUGGGCUUGUGGUUCUCCAUGUCUGUCCCAUGUUCAUCUGUGCCUCCCUGGGCCCUUCACAGCAACUCUCCAUUUGUGUCAUUCAUCUGUAAAGUGGGCUAAUGACAUUUACGUAUAAAGCUGCUCUAAGACCCAGGAGGCGAGUGCAAUGGGGACUUAGGAUACAGGGUGGGUUUAGCACACCAGUGGAUGGGGACUCUGAACUAACUAACUGCAGAGAACAUGUCCCCACCUAAAUACAGUCUCAUCCAGCUUCAAAACACAGCAAGCCAACACACAAGAGGACACUGUGCCGGUGCGCUCACACCAACACCUGCACGCGGGUCUGGGCUUGAGGUGACUUUUCCCCCCAGCCCCAGGAGGAUUAAGUGAGAGAAUGCUUAAAGACCAUUGGGCGGAAAUAAGGACCUUUCCUUCUUGAAGGUGGACUGUGAUGAAGUGGGGAGAAAACCUGAUGAUGCACAGGCCCUGGGGUGACCUCUCAGCAAGUCAGAGGACCCAGCGACUGUGGGAUGGGUUGAUGGAGGCCAUCUUGGCCCUGACAAGAGUUUUGCCAAAUGCUAUAGCAAUUACCUGGAUGUGACAGAGCUUUGAGUCUUGUGGGAAGGGAAUGAUCAAGCAUUUACCCAAAAUUUCCUAAUUUAACUGUACCGCUAGUAAUCAAAUAGUAGAACAGGAUGUGUUGAAUUGGAAUUUCACCAUUCUGAAACCUCAUAUAAAUGAACGGAUCUAUGCAGAAUCUUAAAAUUGAACAUUGGUGAUUAUUCAUAUAUGUGUAUGCAUAUAUAUAUUCAUAUAUAUGAAAGAUGAUUACAUAUAUGAUUCAAUAUAUAUAUAUAUAUAUAUAUACAUAUACAUAUGAAUGAUGAUUACAUACUUUUUGGUGAGCAAAUGUAUCAUCAGUGUUUUGCAAAAAAUAAUCAAACCUGAAUUGGGUCAACCCUAUAGAUCCAAAUAACAAUUUAUAGGAAAUACAGGGGUCAAAGGAACUUAUUGAAAACACCAUGGGGAUUCAAGUAGCAAAAUCUGCACUAUGGGAAAUUCCACAAAUAACCCAACAAAUAAAUUCAUAAAGGAGAAGGGGUAGGGUAGAGGGAGAGUAGAUACAGUAAGGUGACUUACAAACACAUGAAAAGAAAACUAAGCCACAAUGCCAAGUGGUGUGCAUGUGAACUGAUAAUGCUACAAAGACAGGAAGAGGACAUUAUCAUAAGACAAGGUAUAACAUAAAGCAGACCCAGAGUCGGGUGGGACAGGGCACACUGGGAGCUGGGUUCUGUUUCUUAACUUAGGUGGAAAUUACAAGAAUAUUCCCUCUUUCCAACUUAUUGCACUACAAAUCUAUUUUCUGUAUUUGGACUUUUUUUCUUUCUUUUUAAAAAUUUUUUACCAUAUAAAGCUGUUUUGUUUGUUUGAAGUACGUGCCCCUGAUUCUUUUUCUACCCUCCCUCCCACUGACUUGGAGUACUUUUGACUGUCAGCUGCCAAUUUCUGGGUUCUGAAUUCUGCCAGCUGCCCCUCCUCCUUUUCCUAGCUUCUCUCUUAAGUAUAUUGUGUGUCAAUCAGAAUGGGCUAUUACACUACAGAAACAAACAGACUCAACAUCUUAGCGGCUUAAAACAAAGGCUACUUCUUGCUUAUGCUGCAUGUCUAUCAUAUCUCAGCAGGGGGGCUAUCCUCAUCUUAGAUACUCAGAGACCCAGGUUAACAGAGCAGUGGCCUCUUCAGAUGUCCUCAUUUAGCCUAGAACCCAUAUAUGCAACUUCUGCUCACAAUCCAUUGGCCAGGGGGGUGACAUGAAAUUGCCUAACCACAAGGAGGGUGAAAUGCAGUCCUAUAAACUUGCUCAGAAAUAUUUGUUAAGCUACAUUAAUAAAAUGGUUCCUGCUUUGCAUGACAUUGAUAUGCAGGAGCUUCAGUUUAAAUAAUACCACUCCCAACAACCUGGCUCAAAUUUCAGACACCACAGUAUAUUCACUGUAAUUGCAUGAAGUACCACCUCACUGCAAUUUGAACCAGGUUUUUGGGCAUUGGUAUUGUUGAACUGAAACAAAACUCAUGCAUGUCAGUGCCUACAAAGCAAAGAUUGCUUUAUUAACAUUGUUUAGCAAAGGCUUCACUGUCAAUCUGCACAUCACUACAUAAGUAACAGAUGCACAUCAAGGCCUGACAAUCAUGUCACUUCUUUCAAAAUCUGUGAUUGGUUGCUGCACGUCUGUUACUCAUUUCACACACAGACAGCAAAGUGCUGUGUGGUGUUGUUGCUGUCUUGUCUCCCAGUGAUAAACCCAUGUGAGAUUUUACAGAGAUGAAUAAUCAAUGAUAAAAGCUAACAAAAAUUAAAAUGCAACCAUGGAAGUGAUAGUGCUGACAGUGAAAUUGGAUGUGAUUUGAAGAGUUGAAAAUGGUAAUAGUAGAGCAAAGAUAGAAGAAACCUGGAUGGACAUGAAGCUAUGGUACACCAAGCCAUAUUGCAAAAGUCCAAUGAGUAUAAGAAACAAGGUAAAGUGAAUUCAGCUUCAUUUAGUUUAAAUCAUGCUAGGAACAGAAAGCCAUUUGGGGUUGAAAUAGAAUAUUCUCUUCUUUGGAGCCCGGCACUGUAGCACAUGCUUGUAAUCCCAGUGGCUUGGGAGGCUGAGACAGGAGGAUCUCAAAUUCAAAGCCAGAGUCAGCAAAAGAGAGGCGCUAAGCAGCUCAGUGAGACCCUGUCUCUAAAUAAAAUAUAAAAUAGGGAUGGGGUUGUGGCUCAGUGGUCGCAAGAAUGUUCUCUUCUCUGAAUGAAAGACUGGUCUUUAAAAAUUUUAAUUGUUUUGGCCAGUAUUCAGACCAAUGCAUUUAAAUUAUUUGCCACAUUGAGAGAAAAUAGCAAUUAUAAGGAGAUUGAAGAAGAGCCUUGUAAAUGUUGGUUUCAGCAUUUCAGAACCGAGCAUGGUGUGACCGAUGUUAAUACACUGGUAAAGCUUCUAGCACAGUAGCACAGAUAAGACUGCACCCGGAUCCCUGGAAAAUGAAGCAGUUUCAACGGAAGUGAUGUCAGCAGAAAACUUUACCUUAAAGGAGCUCUCACAAAUAUUUUAUGAUGUUGCAAGAACAAGGAAUAAAAUAUCAGAAACGAAUCCAAACUUACAAUAGAGUAUAACAAUCACCAAGGUAUAGAAAAGAUGUGUGUUCUAUAUCAUAUAGAAGCAAGGACUUCUUUUCAAAACUACUUUUUGAUAAGCUUUUUACACAGAAAUAAAACACUUUAAUUAUGUUUCUAAUGUUUUAAGUUACAGUAAAUAAAUAUUAUUUUUACUAAUUUUUCAUUUCCCUAUGCAUUUUAUAACCAUCAGUAAGAGGGUUUUUAAUGUUUUGACAAAACCUUUUAAGGGUCACAGAGCAAUUUUAAUUUUCCCCCUUGAUUAUUAAUUUUCCCCCUUGAUUACUUUGUAUGGUUUCAACUUUCCCAGUCAUUUUUAUGGUGCUAUACUACUGUGCUAAGCAAGGACUGCCUAUAUACAUACCUGGUUUAUGUGGAGUUAGGCUACAAUUUCCUCAAAUCUGUUUGUGCCAACUUAUGUGAAGUAUGAGGAAACUUCUGGGGAAAAAAACAAAAACCUUAAACCAUGUAGGAUUAGGUAGGAAUAUGGAUUCAAGGUAUAGUUUGGAGGCUACUAUUCAACCCCAAUCUGAUCCAACCACCUUAAUGGUCUUAUGUAUGACUCUGUGGGGGAAAAGAGAUUUGUGGAUGAAAUGAGAUCAACUGCACCCAUACAGGCUACCCUUCUGCUGAGGGACCCACUGAAAAGAGUCCGUACUAGACAAAGGCAAUGAAUUUCUUUACUUGCUUCACAGGUGUCACUACUAUAUCAAGCAACAACCAAAAUAGAAACUCAAACCCUGGUCUGGGCUGAGCUGAGCAUCCAUGGGGACUCUUGGGGGUUACAUGGUCCUUGUGGCAAUGGUGAAGUGCCCAAGGUCAUUGAUACCCAAGAGCUGUAGAGCUGGUGGGAGCCACAGCUCUAGGGAGCAGGGAGGAUUGAAACAGGGUUGGAACAGCAGCUUAGAGGUGGGUUGAGCAGAGCUGGGCAAGCAAUUUGAUCCAUUGAGAGUAUGCAGGCUCCCUGGGGUCACUCAGGUGUCCUGGGAGGAAGUAGGGUAGGGCCAGUGGAUAGAGCCCAGCAAGGGAAGUGAGGUUCCCAAGUUAUGCUUAUGGAAAGCUACAAACUCAAGAAAUUCAAUGUGACCACCUUUCCCCCAGUGGCAAUGAGGCCUGGGGACAGGAGGCUGGUUUACAGAAAGGGUGGCUAUAUAAUUUAUUGAUCAAACUGGGAAUAUUUAGAAAGUAAAAGGCAUUGCUAAUUAAACUUUUUAGCUUAAAGUAAUUAAGCCUUUUAGCAAUUAAAAAUCACAAAUGGCAAACCUGGCCACACAAUCACCAGACAUAAUCUAGGUAAUUAUAAAUUUCAGGUGAAAUUAGAAUGAAUAAAAACAAAUUAAUUUGCCCUAACUGGUGUCCCAUGCCACGUUCCCUGGAAGUGAACUUUGAGAUGGAGAUAGGGUGCAAGACACUUAUUAGGGUGCGCUCCCAGACCCACACCUAUGGAACGGAAGGGAAGGGAAGAAAGAGGGUUUGGGUAGUGGGGAGCAGCUGAAGUCUCAUCCAUGAAGCCAUAAAGUCUCAUCAAGGGCUUCAGAUGACCUCAGGGAACUCUGGGGCUGGACAACCUUCAGAAUUGUCCCAAGUUGGGUGAGGGGGACAGGUCUUUGAUCGCUACAUCCACCAGCCAUUGGAUUUAGCUGUCCCCAAGAGCUCUCUCCAGCUGAGUGCAGAUUUCUAGAAUGUGCCAACAGCAGGAAGCACUCCUAGCAUCCCUGAAGGAGGGGGGACGGUCAAGGUGGCAUGUCAGAGCUUCCACUACCGUACAUGAGAGGAGAGCUUGAAUUAAAAGUACUACCAAGAUAGGCACCUUAGAGUUAGUCACCAGUCAUGUCUUGUUGGAGACCCUGCUGCAACUGUUUCAAAGAGCAGAGAGCCAAUGAAGUUAGCAUACUAAAUGCAUGCAAACAAUAUUAUCAAAAAGGGCAAUUUAGUCUCUCAAAUCAAUAAAAUAGCAUCAGUCUUCUUGAGGCUGCUUAUAAAAAUUUUUCUCUAGGUAAAUUUCUACUCAACUCCAUUUGAUAAUGCUUUUAUUUAAGACACCUGCAUCUGGGCACAGUUGGAGCACUGUGAGAAUAUAAACCCAUUUAUUCUCAUCACAAAACUAUGAAGUGGGCCCAACAGUCAAGAAUACAGAGACCUCCCAAGGCUAGACACUGUGCUCAAAUGGAAGUGCCAACAUUGGAUCCAAAUAUCAUGUCUGCAGAUACUCUGCUUUUAACCAUUACGUAUGCUGUUCUCUAGCCUUCCAUUUAAUUUAGUCGGUACUUUAUCAUUGCAGUGAAACUUAACAAGCAUUUAUUAAGCUCCUAUCAGUUGAGUCCAUGCUCAAUACUUAAAGAAAACAAAAAUCUCUUCUCUGGGGUGAAGAAGAAGAGUAAAAUGAUGAUGAUGGUGAUGAUGACAAGGACAGUGGCAGUGACAACAGCAAUAUCUAAAGCUUUUAGUAGGAGCUUUCAUUAUGUACUAGGCUCUGUCCUGACAGCCUUCCAUGCCUCAUGUCCUUUAACCACACAGAAGGCUCAAUGCCUGGUCCUAAGGAGAUUCUGAUCUACUGAGAAGCUAAACAGCUACAUGACUGCACAUGACACGUGAUUAAAGGCCCAGAUGUGUAGGACAGGCUGUCACUGGACAGACUGGUCAGAGAAGCACAGGCUGGAUUUAGUUAGAUCCAAGGAACUUGGAUCCUGAAGAAAUUAUAGAGACUCCUUUCUUAACUAAAAAAUAAGCAAUACUAUAAACAAUAAAAUAAGAGCCAAGAAGUACCAGAAAGUUCAUAUUUUUCCCAUUACGAUUAUCUCAGUACUUUUAAAAGAAAAUUUCUAAAAACAAGUUCUUUCCAAACAAUGCUUUUAGUUGCCCAUGCUCUGCUUGUGCUAAAUCCAGUGGGGUCAGCAGGUAGCACAGGCCUGGAGAAAGACCAGUUUAUUAUGAACCUGUACAGUCAGAAAGUGCCACGGGUCUUGAAGAUGGUAGGAUAAGACAGCAGGGAGAAGAGGAAAGGGUGUUCCCAGAUGGAGAAGCAAUGGGGAGCCAAGAACACUGGCCUUGCUGGAGCUCACUCUGUGUUGCGCAAAAGAGAAACUAGGUGGGGCAAGUGGAUUGGGUCCAUAUUUUAAAGGCCUUGAAUUCUUGGUCAUUAUAGGUUGGCAUAAUUUCCAUAAGUCAUGGGGAUCUGUGAAAGAUGACUGCAAUAUUGUCCCUAUCAUUGUCUCCUUCCCUAAAUCUGAAUGGCAAGCAGCUAAGGUGCUCAAAGCCUUCUUGAGCAGAAGCUCCAAGCACAGAGCCCUGGGAUCCCUGGCCACCCUGGUGGCAGCUUGCCUGUGCUGUAAACACCCGAAGCAUUCCUCAUGGCCCAGCUGCCCUGCCAAAGGGCUUCACCUGUCAGCAAGAGGUUCCUGAUGGCUGCCCAAAGAUGGGUGCUGACCCUAAGGGACUCUAGGCUUUUCCUUGCCCGGCUGCUCAGUGGUUCUCUGCUCUUGCAAAGAGCAGAGAAUUCAUCAGGUAGAAGGGCUCCAGCCAUGUAGGUUUCAUAUUUCCCUCCAUCCUCUGCUGAACUGUUAAGGCAUUUUAUUCCACAAGCAUAUCACAAACCUGAUCUUACCACUGCUCUGACCUGAAGCUUGCAGGGGCAGAAGAUGAGAUCAGUGUUACUGUGGUGCCAUGGAAGAGAAGGCCCAGGGCUCAGCUGUAGCAUCAAGUACUGCAGGCAGACCCAGCUUCCUAUGGCUACUUACCUCCGGCUCUUUCUCCCAGGGACCAUGGGAGUACAGGGAGAUGCUUCACAGCUUCCCCCUCUGUCGAGUCAUCUCAGCUGUUGUCCCAAAUAGCUGCCAACAUUCCAGGUUACUGGUUGCAUUUUUUUUUUUCUGAAGAAACAUUUCAAACAUUGUUUUUCCACCUCUUCUUAAUGCAGUCAGGUUGAAGCCUCUGGCUCUUCUUUUUGGUAGAAUAAAAUAUCCCACCCGACCUGGCUAAUUUCGGGAUGGAAAUGUUUGGGGAGCUCUUGGCCAGGCACUGGUAAGAAGAGCAUGCAACUGGCUCUGAAACCCUGGGGAACUGGCUCCUGACCACCUGCAGGCCUGCUCCUGUGUGCUUUUGUCCAGACUGAAGUUUUCUUUCCCUGGCUUUGGUUCCCUGCUGAUUUCACACUAUGUUCUUGUCUCUUAAACCUGGCCCAGCCCCUUCCAGGAAACUCCUGUAGGCCACAGUACUCUGUCCCCUGCUUGUAUGGCUGUCUCACUGCAUGGCACAGCCCAGGAGUUAGCUAGCCACUGUCACUGCUUAGCUAUGAGCCAAAUGGGUGAGCCAAGGCCUUUCCCCAGGAUGCUGAUCUAGUAUCAGUAUCAAGAUAGAAAAUCUGUAUUUACUGGGUUUGUUCCUGACCUUGGGCUCUUGGAUACAGAGCUGCAGAAAUGCACAAUGAACCUGGAAAUAAUUUAAACCCAGGCGAGGCUUGACUGAGGACUUCUGCUUGAGCCAGAAGAGAAACGGCACCUGGGGGGCAGAAGGCACCUGGGGGACAGAGAUCCCACAAAGAACAAAGAGCAAGAGCUCUGAUGGCAUCUGCUGGAUAGGCAGGGGCAACACUCUCAAGUCCCACUUGUGAAGUCAUCACAGGUAGAGGUGGGACUUGAGUCCUGCCUGUGCUCUUCUUCCUCAGGCUUCCCCAUGAAUAGUGUUUCAUGACCAUCUUAGGUCUCCACCUAAGGUGUGUGCUUUACUAUGCUGAUAAGGUCAAGGUAACUGUGGAUAACUUUGGUGACUAUUCUACACAGGCAUUUGCCCCUCACCACCUGGACUUGCUCCUCUCACCUGGCAAUGUCUCUAAUAUUAUUAUUUCCAGAGCUGGCAUUUCUGUUGACCACAGAGCCUCAGAAGGCUGAGCCUGUGUGUCCUGGUGAGUUACAUCCCUCUCAUAGCCUCAGACACUCCUCAUUGACUCCUCAUUUGCUAGGAUAGCUACUCACCUAGUAGGACUGAGAGCUAGCCUUGCUGACUUAUUUCCCCUUGAAAGGUGCUCUUCCCUUAGUCCCAAGAGUCCUGUUUCUCCUGGGGGGAGAGGGUGAUUCCUGACUGUGUCACGUUCUCAGAGAAUGAAGGGCAACCAGCAAGCUUCCUUCUGUCUCAUGGGAGGCUGAGUGGGACAGGGAGAGACCCUGGAGUCAGACACCCUUCAACAGAGAGUUAGUUGCUCCACAUAUUUUUUAGGGGUUUGCAAAUUUGGUCCACAGCCAAACUGGUCAAACAGAGGAGAGCCUGGGAUACUUCUCCUUCACCAGGCAAAGCUCAACCUGACCUUUCAAUUUGUGUGCCCAAAAUUGUUUGAGCACUUCUUAGUCUAUUCAGGAUGUUAUAACAAAAUGCCACAAAAAGGUGGCUUAUGAACAACACACUUAUUUCUCAUAGUCUUGGAGGCUGGGAGUCCAAGGUCAAGGAAUCGGUAUGUUUGGUGUCUGAUGUGGACCAGCCUUUUUGGUUCAUAGAGCCUUCUCCAUGUGUCCUCACAUGGUGAAAGGGGCAAGGGAUCUUUCUCAGGCCUCUUCUAUAAGGGCACUAAUCCCCUGGAUGAGAGUUUGGCCCUCAUGACUGUCCCCCAUGACCCACCUCCUAACCCCAACACCUGGGAUUUCCAGCAUAUGAAUUUUGUGAGGGUGCACUCAGACCAUGAUAGAAACCAAACGUGAGACUGAUCUGUCACUCACAGUUCUCCAACUAACCUGGUGGCUUUUGUAAGGAUUCUUAAUCGAUAUUUUUUAAAUAAACAAAUGCACAGAGAAAAAUCAAGUGAAGUAGUUGAGCUUUCCUUUCCAGGAGGUAAAUGAUCAAAAGACAUUGUUCUUGUGGAACUCUCUGUUGGUUGAAAGGGAAGAAACUGCACCUGGGAGUUUAUGUUCGCUCUCCUUCCUAGUCACAGUGCAUCCAGGGACAGCAUCAGCGGUGCUUGGAAGCUUGUUAAAAGUGUGGAGUCCCAACCCCACCUGCAGUAGAGCCUGGAUUUCAAAGAGAUUUGUGUGUGCUGCUGUAUAAAACACAGGGAAGAUAAUCCAAAGGCCUAGUGUCUGGAGUUUGGAACUACGAAUAAAUGCCCAAUGGGAAUAAUGAUAUCCACAAACCAUCUCUCAAGCCAUGAGUGUUUAUCGAAAUCCACUAUGUACCUAGUCCUGAGUCAGGCACUGCAGGAAAGAAUCAGAGACAGUCAAGGAGUCAGGGCCCACGCUGCCUUAGUUGCAGCCCUUACUGGGGGGAGCCAGCUCUUGCCUAACUGCAUUCACUGCAGCGCAACCCCUGGGGUGACACCAGUCACAUGGGCAGCCCUUGUUUUCAGCAUUAACCAGUCAUCGAGAUUGAGCUAGCAAAUCUUCAGGGAAGACAGACCAGUCAUAACCUCCAUCAUAACAUUUUUCUUUGGCGAUGAAGCAUUGCUGAGACUGUUGAAAGCUCAUUCAGUGUUGCUAAAGCUCAAGCAUUCAGGCCUUCCCCAGGUCCAGGGGUCUGGUGGGAGUGGGGGUAGGGGGUGUGGCUCAGUGGUAGAGUAACUUAGUGGUUUGGACUGAUUUGUCCAAUUAGCCCAGAGGCACAGCUGUGCUGUUGAGGUCUUGCUCCCUGCACCAUUAUCUUGCAAGUGAAGUUGUUCUAGAAUUCUGUGCAUAAAACUGCAGAUUCUGGAAUCAGAUUGCUCUAGGCUCUGACAUUUGCUGGCUGUGUGACCUUGUGUAAGCUUCAAUUUACAUUGCUUCCUGCUUAAUUUGGAUGAAGUCCAAUUUAUCUUUUUUUUUUUUUGGAUUGUGUUUUUGGUGUUGUCUUUAAGAAACCUUUGCCAAGGUCAUAAAAAUUGUCUCCUACGCUUCUAUCUAAAUUUUGUAUACUCUAUGAUCCAUUUUUAGAUCUAUGAUACAUUUUUAGUUUUGAAUAUGCUACAAGAUAGGGAGAGUCAAGGGAGGGUUUUUUUCUUUUUUCUCUUCUCUCCCUUCCAUCUUUCCUUUCCUUUCUCUUCCCUUCCCUUCCCUCUCCUUCUCCUUCACCUUCCCCUCCUCCUUCACCUUCCCCUCCUCCUCCCCCUCCUCCUCCUUCCUUUCCUCUUCCUCCUUUUUUUGCAUAAGGAUAUGUAAUUGUCUCAGUACCAUUUAUUGAAAAGACCAUACUUUCUCCAUUGAAUUGCCCCCGGCCUUUGUUGAAAAUCAAUCAACUGUGUAUUUGUGCAUUUAUUUGUGAACUCUGUUGUACCAGUCUAUAUGUUUGUCCUUCAGCCAUUAUCACAUUGUCUUGAUUACAGUAGGUUUAUAGCAAGCCUUGGGUAGUAGAGGACUACUGACAUAUUGGCAAUCCUGGGCCAUUUAUACUUUCAUACACAUUGUAUAAUUAACUUGCUAAUUGCUACCAAAAGAGCCUGCUGAAAAAUUUCAGUUAGAUUUAUAGAUAAAUAUGGGGAGAACCAACAUCUUGACAGCAUGGAGUCUUCUAAUCCAUCAGUAAAGUAUAUAUUUCUAUAAUUUAUGUCUUCUUUAAAUUAUCUCAGCAGAGUAUUCUGUAGUUUUCAGUGUAUAGGUCUCGUACAUCUUUUGUUGAAUUUGUAAGUAUUUUCAUCAUGUUUGUAAAUUAAUUUUUUCAAUUUUAUUUGUUGCAAAUCUAAAAAAUAUAUAAUUAUUUUUAUAUAACCUUGUAACAUGUGAUCUUUCUAAGUAGUUUUGUAGAAUCUUUAGAAUUUUCUAAGAAAUUAUGUCAUCUACAGAUAGAGAUGGCGAUUCUUCUUCUUCUUCUUCUCCUUCUCCUUCUCCUUCUCCUUCUCCUUCUCCUUCUUCUUCUUCUUCUUCUUCAUUUUUAAAACCUUUGUUUCUUUUUCUUACUUUAGUACAAUGACUAGGGCCCCCAGUACAAUGUUGAAUGGAAGUGAUGAGAGUGGGUAUGCUUGCCUUAUUUUCAAACUUCAGAGGCAAAUUGCAGUGUUCAAUAGUUGUUCAUUAAAGAUGCCCUUCAUCAUACCGACAAAGAUCUUUGCUAGAUUGUUGGCAGUUUUUAUCAUAAAUAUAUGUCAUGUUUUGUCAAAUGCUUUUUCUGCAUUUAUUGAAAUAAUUGCAUGAUUUUUCUCCUCAUUCUGUAAAUGGACUAAAAUAUAUUGAUUUUUUAAAUAUUAAAUCAACCUUACAUUCCUGGGAUAAACACUCCUUGAUCAUGAUAUGAUUGAUCAUUCUUUUUUAUAUAUUGUUGAAUUUAAUCUGAUAAUAUUUUGAUAAGGAUUUUGUAUCUAUGUUCUUGAGGGAUGUUGGUCUGUGAUAGUCCUUAAUAAUGUCUGUCAUGUUAGAAUUUUGAUGGAACCAUAAAUCAAAUUGGAACGUAUAUCCUGGUAUCCUUUAUCUUUGGAAAGAGUUUGAUAUUAUUACUUCUUUGAACGUUGGAUAAAAUAUAUCGUGAAAAUACCUACGGUUUAGAAUUUAGUUUUCCUGUUUCAGAUUGUUGUAAAUAUUACCAUAUAUGUGUAUAUGUAUAGAUAUAUAAAAUGUUUCUGUUUUAAUCAAUUUUAAAGGAAUAACUGUUAUAAUUUCUUUAGAACAUUCUUAAGUUCUCUUUUAUUAUUUUGAGGACUGUAAAAUCUGCAAUGAUAUCUUCUCUUUUCUAAUAUAAGAAUCCAAGCCAUAGGGGCUGGGGUUAUGGCUCAGUGGUAGAGUGCUCACCUAGCAAGGGCGAGGCCCUGGGUUCAAUUCCCAGCACCACAUAAAAAUAAAUAAAGAUAUUGUGUUCAACUACAACUAAAAAAUAAAUAUUAAAAAAAGAAUCCAAGCCAUAAAAUUCUCUUUAACCAGUUUUAGCUGCAUUGCACAAUUUUUGUUGUGCUUUAACCAUUAUUAAGUUUUAAAUAUUUUAAAACUUUGUGUUUCUUUUUCUUUCACUCAUGGGUUGCUUACAAGAGUGUGUUUUAUUUACCAAUAUUGGAUUUUCCUUACAUAUUUUAUUUUAAUUGAAAAGAGGAUAUUCAAAUAUAUCUCUGUAAUUGUACAUUUUCUGUUCCUUCUUUUUUUUCUAGAGACCUUUUCUAUCUCAAGUAUCUAAUUUAUUAAAGCCUUUCACGAUUUAAUACAUUGAAGCAUUAAACACCCAGUAAAGUGCCCAGCAUAUUGUUUUCACAGAAUGUAUGCCACUAUUAUUUCAAUCCUUUCCCAUUAGGACCUAUAGCUUGGGAUCUGGUCUCUCUUGGUAUAGUUGUGAAAUUGAAAAUAAUGCAUAUGCUUCACUUGCUAGUUAUAGUGUUCUAUACAUACCAGUUCAGUUAAGGUGUUGAUAAAGUUGCAGAGAUCUUCUACCACUUGAUUAAUUAUUUUGUACUGUAUUCUACCAAAUGCAUAGAAAGGGCAUUCAAAUAUCCUACUAUAAUCAUAAUGUUUUUUUCUUAGCCUUUUAUUCUGACAACUUUGCUUGAUGUAGCUUCCUUAGGCACAUACACAUUAAUGAUUACUGUCUUUUUCAUUAAUUGGAUCUUUAUAUUUAAAAAUAUAAUUGGUCAGCAUAUAAUUGGUCUUGCUUUUUUUAAAAAAAAAAUCUGUUCUAGUGAUCUCUGUCCUUUAAUUGGAAUAUUUUUCUCAUUUACAUUUAAUGUAAUUAUUGCUAUUAUUAUAUUAUUAUUAUAUUUAUUUUCUGUUGUAUACUCUGGUUGUAUUUUCUCUGAUCUCCCUUUCCUGCAUUCUUUUGGACUGUUACAUAUAUUUUAUGAUAUUUCUUUAACUUUUUCAAUAGAUUUUUAGCUGUCCCACUUUGCUUUACUUUUUAAAUGGUCAUUUUGGUGAUUACAACAAACAUCCUUAGAUUUUUCACAGUGUGUUUAGAAUUAGUAUUGUAUUUUGUUACAUAAAAUGCAGAAACCUUGAAACAGUAUUAGUGGGUUAUCUGCUCCCACACUGUGAGUCCACAGCCCUUUGAAGCAACAUCACCCUAUGUAUAAUGCAUCAUUUUCUGUGACUACCUGCAAGAUUUUCUUUUUCUUUCUUUUUUUUAAAUAACUUUAUUUAUUCAUUUUUUAAAAUGCGGAGCUGAGGAUUGAACCCAGUGACCCACACAUGCUAGGCAAUCACUCUACCACUGAACCAUACCCCAGCCCCAAGAUUUUCUCAUCUUUAGUUUUUGACAGUUUAAUUAUAAUGUACCUAGAUGUUAUUUUAGUCAUAAUUGUCCUAUUUGGGAUUCACUGUGAUUCUGGACUUUCUCUUUCAACAAAUUUGGGAAUUUUUCAGCCAGUGUUUUCUCAAAAAUAUUUUCUGCCCUGUUAUUUUUGUCUUCUCCAUCUGGAACUUGAAUUAACUACAUAAAUUUGAAUAUUAUCCCACAUAUACCUAAAUCUUUUUUUUUCAAUCUUUUUUCUCACCUGUCUUCAGAUUAGAUAAUUUCUAUCAAUCAAUCUUCCAGUUCACUUGUCAGUCGUUCACUAAGAGGAGGUAUAUCUACCAGGUCUGUUUUAUAUUUAAGCUUGAGGCUACAGCUUAGGUUUUAAAGUACAUCAAACAUCCACAAGGAUAGGUUUAUUAAUAUUAUUAUCUCAAAUGCAACAUGUUUAAAAACCUGUUCUCAUCUUGACUGCUCUUUUAAUGCAAGUGAUAUAGUAGGUUCUCAAUGACUAUAUGUCAAUAAAUGGCUAUUAGCAACAGUUGUGUUAGAAGAAUCACAGGAGGGGAGAGAGAGCCCUGUUGGAAGGGGACAUCCCAGUUGCCACUAGCCCACCUGAAAGGAAGCUCCUCAUGAUCUUGCUAUAGGUUAUGCUUCUCCUUUGUGAGGAACAGCUUUGCCUGUGAGAAUGAUGCUUUGGGUAAGACAUCUAGCUCCCCUGUUCCCAGGAACACUCUGCUCUGCACACUUCUGAGGUAGGACUUCCACACUCCCCAGCAGGCCACUGUCAGGCAUGCUCAGUCCACCCUCCCCUCCUGGUGCCUAGAAGGCCGCAGGAUGGGUCUGAAGAGCUUGUCUGCUCCAUCCACUUUGCCAGCCUAACCCCUAGGAGAGGAAACCUGUUUUGUGAGAAUUUACUUCUCAAUCUUGAAGAUGAAAAUAAGAGAAAAGAAGUCAUGCUUGGAUAAUUUAUCAAGUUGCUUUAUUAAAAAAAAAAUUGCUGUGUCUGAAACUAAGUUGGAAGUCUCCAAGUCUCCUGCCUGAAAUUCAGGCCAGGAUAUAUCAUAUAAUUAGAAAAUAUACACUUCACAGGGGUUGGAAGCGAGGGAGAGUGCCUUCACUCAUCACAGGCACUGGAUAGGGAGGGACAUCGGCGGAAGCACAGGGUGUCAGCGGGCUCUUUUGGUGGGUUGUGUUGCUCAGAAAAUCUAUAGCAUGUAGCCAGUGGAAAUUCUUUUAGUAACAUACAUGAACCCAUCUAACCCUCUCUCCCCCUUGCUCUUUCUUCUCUCAUCUCUCUCUGCUGGGUCAGAGUGGGGUGUCACCUUCUCAGCCCCCUGCGGGCUUGUUUGUAGUGCUUUGCGAUUUUCUCUGCUGGUGCACUUGUGACAACAGGAUGGGGAAACCACUCUACUCUGGGUCUACUUUGGGGCUCCCUCAGUUUGCAGGGCUCCAUUUAAAAGCCAAUUCUUUUAGAAUAUUAAAAUGUGACUCAAAGGCCUCUCCCCAGCUUCCCCGUCCUGUUUCCUUUUGCCCUCUUUCCUCUUAUCUAAGCAAAACCUAUGGGUAAAGAGUCUGCUGCCUGGAGUGGUAAGUUUCUCUGUUCCUGAAUGUUUUUUCCUGCUUCAGACUCCCCAGGUCUUUGGCAUGAAGAGCACGUGUCAAGAACAGAACAGGGCAGCUGGGUCAGAGUGGUACCAUUUCCAAGCCACCAGGACCAUGUGGCUGCUCAGACUUCACUCCUAGGGAGUCUCAGAGCAGUGUAGACAAUGAUGUAGGUCCCCCCCGCCCCCACAAGGGGCUGCAGAGGUCUGGAGACCCUUCUGAAAUAGGCCAGGAAGCCCUCCUUGGGUCUCACCCUGGGAAGCAAGGACACAGGCAAACUCAUCACUGUGUCAAUGUCACAAAAGUCUGCUACUGUGCAUAAAUCAGUUGCAACAGCUAAAAAACGAACUUUCAGUAGAAGAGCCUCCACUUCCUGGUCCUCACUCCCUCCAGGCAGAUGAUCAAAUGAUGCCUCUGAAAUCUUAGAAAUUCAUAUCGUCACUAGGGAAAUUAAAAUAAUAAUAAUAAAAAAAGAUCUUCUCUUUCCAGAUCCCUCCUCUGUGUGACUGCAUGAGGACAUGUCUGUAAGAAAUUGUGGGUAGAUAUCUCAGACGGGGGUGGGGAAAAAGUCCUUUAAAUGGACAAAUCAGUCCAAACCACUAAGUUAUAACUCUUUCCCCCCCCCUUUCCAACAGAAUAGUAAAACAGAUCCGUUAUUGGCAACCCCAUUAGUGCUAAGGAGAGGUGGCCUCCAACAUGACAUCAGCCCACCGCUUGACCCAAAUCUAGUAUUUCACCACAGCCUUCCCCGGCCAGCUUUCCAACUGUGUAGAAGACAUUCACGGGGGAGAAGGGAAGAAGGCAUAAAUAAGAUACAGAUUGGGGACUUUUUGAUGUGUUUAGCACAUUUUUGUGACUUCCUUUAAUACCACGGUCCCUGCAUUCUUCCACCAUUAGGAGAACAAAAGACAAGCCUGAGAUGGGGGUGGAUGGUGGAUGGGCAGCAAAGCCAUUCAAUAAAAUGUUCUGUUCGCCUCGUUAGCGUUUUUUAAUUCCAAUGUGUAAAAAGGGAGGCAAAAAUGGAAAGAGAAGAAUGGAUACUCCUGCCCCGUAACUUCAGAUAUAAAAAGUCCCUUCAUUAAAUCAGUUGUUUUUUAAUCCAUAAUUGAACUUAAAUAAAGAGUGACCUAUGGGCAGCUGUUUCUAAUAUCGAGUCCCCACUGCACAUGAAAGACGCAUUUAUUCCUCCCUACCCUUGGGUGUUAUCAGCUGAACAUGUUUUGAACCUACCUAAUGCAUUUGAGGUAGCUUGGGUUUAUUUUUCUUUCAAUAAAAUAAAUGGUUUUGUAAUUAAAUUUCUGCACUGCCUGUGCUUAAUGGUUACAUUGACAAGUGCUAAUGUAUGGCAAGAGAAUGAGUUUGAAAUGAAACAUGCUGUUUUCGAAUCUGCAAGCAAUUUUGCAGUGGGGCAAUCAAACCCCUCGUGCCAGGGAAACAUUUUCAUUAAUCUGCUCAGUGCGCCCCUGCCCACUUGGCCGGACGCGGGAGGACACUUUUUAGCAACCCCAAUGCCCACCCCCAACCCUUGCCUUUUUUUAAGAAAAAAACUCUCUCUCUCUCUCUCUCUCUCUCUCUCUCUUACACACUCACACACAAAUAUCAUGAAGGAGCCGUUGUUUAAAACCGUUCUGUGGUCUCUGGCAGGCGGGCCUGUGGAAAUUCGCUGACUUUCCACCUGAAAAGUUGCAGCUGUCCCCCUCCAAAGGGACUGGCUGCCUCAGUGUUUCAAUCCCUGGCAUCCAAUCAACAAGAAAGUCUGUCCCUCUGUCUUCCUUUUUCUUUUCUUUUUAAACUUUUUCCCCUUAACUAAAUUUAUUUUUUAAUAAAUCUUCUCAUAGAAAAUAGAGAACGGCUAUUACCUAUCUGAACUUGCCCUGUGCAAACCACUUCAAGCCAUGGCAAAGAAGGCGGUGGCCUUCUAGAAGGGUCAUGAGUGGGAACCUGGAUUGGCCCAUGUGAUCUGCUGGCUCCACUUCCACCCGCAGCCAGGAAAGGGGCCCCCCCGUGCAGGUACAGGCCUGAGGCCGGAGGUUCUGUCCCUUCUCUGAAGGCCUCUUUCAUCUGACCACUGGAGCGAUGGCUUCCCAGCUGGCAGCGGCUCUGGAGCCUGCUGGGCCCCGCAUCAAAGACCAAGAGUGGGUACGAGGCCCACAAGCUGUCUGGGGCCUGUGGAGCUGCAGGGCAACGGGAGCCGCUGAUUCCGCAGCUGCCCACAGGGUGUGCGACUCAGCAUUUUCUCCCCAGGCUGGUGGAGAGGAGCCAGAGGGCCACUGCAUGAAUGCUGACUCACUCCAUCCAGGCUGGCCAGACUCAAGCUGUCCUACCCAACUUGGCCCUCUCUAGCUGUGUCCGGGACAGGGCUUAGGGAAAGGUCUGACCUCCCUGGAUUUAUGGCAGUGGAAGACAGAAGAGUCUACUGCUCAUGGGACUCCAGGAACAUGAGGAAGGGUCUCAAAUCUUCAGAACCCUCCUGCCCGUAUCUUAAGUCCAUUGCCUUUAGGGGGACACAGCCUUUCAUUUCCUCAGUAGAGAAGAGGGCUUGGAAGCACAAGACCUUGGGAAGGAGGUAUGGGGAAGGGGAUCACCACUGAGAUGUCCAUGGAGGGCCAAGGCCAAGCCUGCCAUGACAAGGAGAGGGAAGGAACUGGAGGUAACUGGUGUCUGAACGGCAGCGAGGAGAUCUUAGAAGGGGUGAGGGCAAGGAAAUGGGGGACAAGUGUUAGAGCCAACAGACACCUUCCCAGUGGCCCAUGAAGAAAUAGAAAGAUCAUUGAUGAGGUGACAGCUAGGAGACUCAUGGAAUAAGUGAAGACUUAACCUUGUCCAGGAUAAAGGGGUCCAGAAGCCCAUGUCCCAGAAGAAAAAUAAAAAGACAAUGAGGAAGCGAAGGAGGAAGGCCCCUGGUGUGGGCCUUGGCUGAGUCUGGGCUGGGUCCUGACGAAACUAAGAUAUGAUUAUGUGAAAGUUGCCAUCUGCACCCAGCCCUCCCAUAAUGCCACAGUAGCUCCUCCCACGACAGGGGAACACUUCACUCACUCCUUCAGCAAGUGAUGAGUUCUCACUGUGUGCUCUCCUGUCGCUAGGCCCAGCAGGUCCAGGCACAGGCCGCCCUCCCGAGGCUGGAUGAUGUGUGUGGUGGAGUUCCACACAAAAUGCUACAAGCCUUCAGAGGAGGGAUGGGGCUACACCAAGAAGAUCAGGGGAAAGCUUCGUGGGAGAGGUGAGCCUUGAAAGAUGAGUAGGAUUUCAAAAGGGGAGACGGAGGUUCCAAGGUAAGGCAUCAGCACAACAUGGAGGUGGGAUGGUAAAAGUUGUCUCCAGAGAAUAAUGAGUGGUCCCAAAGGAAUGGAGGAUACUGUGUGUGUGUGUGUGUGUGUGUGAGAGAGUGUGUGUGAGAGAGAGAGAGAGAGAGAGAGAGUGUGUGUGUGUGUGUGUGUGUUGGCAGGGAUGGGAAAAUGAUGGGAGAUGAAAUUAAAGGGUUAAGAUAGGGCCACAGUGAGGGCCACAGUGAGGGCAGAAGCUACAGAAGCCAUGCUUUACUUUGCAAGCCACAGGCACCCCUUAAAGAUAUGGGACCUGGGGUGUGGGUGAGGGAGUGGUGCUGUGACCCACUGGUGUAUUCAUUAACAGACCCUGUGAGCCAUAUAUCAGGACAGAUGGGGAAGGAGAUACUGGAGGUGGCAGACCAGAGGCAACUGCCAUGGCCCAGGCCAGAGAGGAAGAGAGCCGCAAGGCAAGAGGCAGGGUGCUGGAGACAGGGCUGGGUGCUGGACAGCAAGUCAGAGUGGUGGGAGGGGACAGCCAGUAGUCUACCUGCAGGGCGCCUGGAAAGAUGACCAUGGCCGUGACAGAGACGGGGAACUCCAAGAGAGAAGUGGGUCUGGGGGAGGGAGGAAAAAAACAUGCCAGUUCCCACUGGACACGUGAUUUUUUGUUCCUGGGAGUGACUUUCAAUGGGGACAGUGAAGGGAGAAAUGGACCCAAAUGAGAGGAGUCAAUGCGACAGACAAAAGGGAACAGUGGAAUUUGGGGAUGAGCCAAGAAAAGGGAGGAGAGUCCCCAAAAGAAGACUGCAACACAAUUGUGUUUCAAGGAGACCCAAGAAGAGGACCUGGUGAGCUGCUGGGCUCAGCUGCGUGGGAUGAUGCUCAUCCCUGGGAACAGUCUAGGGGAAGGGGACGUGGGGACUGUGAGAGGCAGAGGCAGCACGAGGGGAUGUUGGACAUGGCUUUCAGGGAAUGGCACAGUGAUGCAUGCAAGAAAAGUAUUCCUGGGUGACAGGCCCUUGGCCCAUAGUCAAGCAGGUAUCAAUAGUGAGGGCAAAGGACCCCAGAAAGGGGCCUCUCUGAUGGAGCAAAGUCAUGGGAAAGGCAGAAAGAAUUGGAGAGUUGGCCUUGGAGUGGAAAGAAGGGGUGAUGGGCCAGAGAACCACUGAGGCAAAGGCGAGGGGAGGUGGGCGCAACGGUGGCCCCUCAGGAGAGCACAGUGAGACCGUGUGCUGAGGGUGAGGGUCGAGGAAGGCCAUGGAAGAAUGGGUGGGGGGUAGGGGUGCGCUUGGAGAUGUGAGGCAGGCAGGAAAAGGGAUGGGAAGUCAAGCAGGAGUGAAUUACAGGGCGUCAGCACUGAGAAUCCUGCUGAAGUUGGGAGCCUCACUCCUCUGCCGCCUGCCUGGUCACGACAUGGCGCCAGCCUUUCGUGUCAAUCUGGAAGCAGAGACAGAGCCGAGAAGAUGGUGGUGGGAUUACUGUGACAGUAAGGUCACAGUGGAUGGCACUGUGGCUACCAUGGGAAGCUGGAGGCAAAAGACCCAAGGGGCCAACCUGGGAGAAACUGGUUGUUGAUAUGUAUGAGCUUCAUCUUUAAGACCUGUGCAGCCUUGACUUGGACUGGAAUUUGAAGACUAAAUUUGAAAGUUAAAAAAAAAAAAAAUCUGCCAGAAAGAAUUGUAAACAAGGAGUCAGAAAAACAGCUCCCUCUUCUGCUUCUCCUCCUCCCCCUUGGCUUUCCUGUGCUGUGUGAUCCGGGCCACAGCCCCAAACUCUUCACAUCUUUACGCCUGUCCUCCUUCCUUGGGGACACAUUCUGGUGAUGUACCAGCUUCCUGGAAUGAAGAUGGUGUUUAAAGAAAAGUGACCCCUCCCCCACUGGUUUGGUUCUACAGAAUUCUUUAGUUCUUGCCUUCUCCUUACAGCAGUAAAACCAAACAAAACCAAUUUAGCUGAAACCUCAUUGGUCUUUUGACAUGUUCUUGAUGUUCAGCAGGGUUGUCAAAGCUAAAAGAAGCUGAACAAAUUCGACCCGGUUUAGUUUUGGAAGUUAAACAACAUCAGACCCGCCAUCAGGUCUGCAUUCUCCGUGUGGGUGGAGAAUCCUGGCAUCAGGUAAAGCUGCUUACUCUUUAGUGAGCAGAGCGUCCUAGCCCCUGUGAGUGGAGAAAGUGUCACAGCAGGGGUGCCAUCCACUGUGACCUUACUGUCAAGAAGUAGGGAUUCCAAAGGUGCUGUUCUUCCUCAUCCCCUUUAAGCAUCUCCAUCCUCCCCAAAGUCCUGGUAGCCACUCUUGGUGUCCUAGUCACUGUAAGUUCAUUUGCUAUGGUGCCAGCAGGUCACAGUGGGACCAAGAGGGUCAGAGCCCAGGAAAGGCCUCCAUGGGUCAGUAGCUCCAGGUUCUGUCUGGUCUAGCAUCUCAUGACCACCAAGACACACAGGCAUGUCUUAGGAGGGGACUAUGACCAGCAUCCUCCACAACCUUGGAAGGCCGAACAUGGACGGGACAUCUACAGAAAUGGCUACCUCCAUUUACCCAGGGAAGCAGCUGUGACAAUAUACCCAACAUUCCAGCAAGCUCUUUGUAUUUUCCAUCAGGGCCAUAUCUAGAAACAGUGCAUUUCAUAAUUUGAUUUUCCACUGUCUCUAACAGACACAGCUUUCUCUCUAAAGCUUUCAAAGGAGUCACUUUACCUUCACCCUCUUGAAUUUGAUGAUUAGCCAAAGAUAGGAAGAAGGAAUGAUUCAGAUUGUGAAUCUAUGAUAUGCUGAAUCCUUUGCUAAGUGUCACCUUUGCUGAACUGUUUCACAGCACACCUGUUAUUUAUCCCCAUCUUAGAGAUGAGCAGCCAGACUGCAAUAUCUGAGCCAACACUAAGGCUGCCCCCUGUGUUUCAUGCCCAGUCUGUGAUACUAUUGUAUUCUGCCCUGAGCAUCCGGGGUCUCUCCAAAUCAAAAAAUUGCUGCUUCUAUUCUGACGUCCCAUGCUUGUGUCUGUGAGGAAGAGUGACUAGACAUCUAAAUAUGUUGGCUGGAAACCAAUAAAUCCCAUUGGUAUUACUGAGACCUAUAACAUACGCAGUGCUGUAGAGACCAAGAGGAUAGAGAUUGCUGUGCACAACCCACCUUGGAAUACACAGAAAAACAUGUCCACUGGCCUUGUCUUCUUUGCAGCUGAGCUUGGGUGAUCACUUGAAGAUACAAACAAAUAUCAAGAAAUAACUCUAAGGACCCAGUGAGCUCAAGGGGCCCCUUGCUACAGCCCCCUGUGCCAGUGGGUCUCCGUGCAACCUUCUUCAGUGGUGGUGGGCAGAUGUGCCGAUGGGAGGCAGGUGUUGCUAGAUCCCCCAACCCAUGGUCCCUUGCUCUGCUUCCUGGACAUCUCCACCUGGGCCUGAAGGAGCACAGCUACAACUGGAAGGGAAAAAUGGGAGCCGGCUGGUGGAAAGCACGUCAGCUCAGCACGCUGAGGCGGCGCACACUUUAUGUAGCAGAACCGCUGAGGUUAUAAUUUAUCUUCCCUUUGGCUUUGAGCCAUCGUUAAGAUUUCCAGGAAGGAAGCUUCAGGGAGGAAGGAAGGGAAGAGGGAGGGAGCUGGACAGUUCCCAUGGCGAGACCUGGGAUGGGGGAGGGCGGGACCUGAAGGCUGGCUGCUGAGAGGGGCAGGGAGGGCCUGAUGCUUUGGGGCCAAAGUGCUAGUUAUGAGAAUUUCCUAAUGACCGUGAGUCCUGGGGGAGGCACGUGAGCUGUGCCUGGCGCCAGCCAAGCCUGCACGGGGCCUCCUAUCCAUAUGUUGAGUGUGUGGGGAGUGAGGGAGGAGGGAGAGAAGAGAGUCCUGCGCUGCUGAAGGUGACUGAUGGCCUUGGGACAGCAAAUCUGGCUCCUGAGGGAUCUGGCUUUACUGGAUCAAGACACAAAGAUUAGUGGCUUUCAGGUGAGGAAGAACCCUCGUUCCUGGCUCCCGGAACAAAGUUUCUUUGUGGUUCGUUGAGAGAUUCAUUUGUGUCCCCCAUGCCCAGAAUUUUGCUCAUGGCAUUUCUGUCUUCUUUCCUUGUGUCCAGAGCCUCCCUGGCCAGGUCUCACAAUCCCAUGGAGUCCUCCCUGAUGGUCUAACAGGAAGCCCCCUCCUCUGGCCUGCUGACUGGCCACAAGCAGAAGUGAGGUUAGCCUGGGGCCCAACAGGGGUAUGUGUUUAGGAUGACUGCGUUUCUCCUCAGAGCCUUGAAGGUACUCAAAGAUCCUGGGGGAACGAGUUUAUAAGACUUGACACAUUGACAGAUUAUACCGAGUGAAAUACAAAAUUGGCAAGAAUGUCUAAAUAAAAGCUGAGACUCUGAAGAAAUUUCAUGAGACUAGAGUGCCACUUUGGGCCACACCCAACUGGCUACAUGCUUGCUCUUCUCCCCACUGGGGACAUUGGGCAGAUGAGUUUGAGCAGUGGGUGAUGUGACAUCAAGUGCCACCUCAUGGGAGGGCCCCUGUUUCCCUGCGGAGGCUGAGCAACGGGGAAUGGAAGCCUUGCUAAUUAGGAGCAAGGGACAUGGUUUUAUUAAGUAUUGAGAAUGGUUUUGUAAAUAUUACUCCAUUUUAUAGCUAAUGAAAUUAAGCUAUGGUGAGGUAAAAUAACUUCCUCAAGUCAGAAAGUAAGAAAGAUGUAAGUCCAGGAUCCAACCUUGGGCCUAGCAGUCUGUUAUGACACCAUGCCACUUGGGGUGUCUUAAGGAAGGGACACCAUCAUGUGUGUCUGCAGCUUACACAGGCCUUCCUGGAAGGUGAUCCUUGUGCCGGCCCCAAAUGUCAGCCUCCACUGGUACAGACACAGACCCCAGCUGUGACAGCUCAGUUCAUUCCAGUGGUUCCUCCCCAUCUCAGGAUUCCUGGGCCAGGUAUAUGGAGACUUUGCCCACUAUACCAAUAUCUGGAAGGCCUCAUAGGGCCCCAGCUUGACUUAUCUAACUAAAGUUAAAGUGGUUGAUUUGAUCCAUCUCUGUACAAUUUGGGGAAUCACCAAGUCAGAUCUAAAUGUCCAUAUGCAAGAGAUGAGGAUUCGAUUAGCGGCUGGCUGGCUGUUAACCUUGCUUUACACAAGGAAAAUUGGGGUGUGAAAUCAAGGCCGAAGCCCCUUCACUGGGCCAGUUUAUCUCUAAGAACUUUCCCAUUCAAUAAGCAUCCUGGUUGAUGUUCUUCAUUAUAGUCACAAUGAUGAACUCACUCUCGUUAUUUUCAAUAAUACACACUACAUCCAUUACAUUUAGUCUUAGAACAUUUUAUGAUAUGUCUAACCCAGAAAAAUGUGUGCCCAGUCGAGGAGGAGUGAGGGAUGGGCUAUCUUUAUUUUCGGCCCCUUUUAGCCUUUCCUUGGCACUUCCUGCAGAGGGUGUGGCUUUUGAAGUCCCUCUUUAUACCGUCUGUUUGGCUUUGCCCCAUCUCCCAAAAGGCCCUUCUAACUUUACACUGCACAAAUGCACGUCUCAGGGACUUGCCAAAUCUUGUCAAGUCCUCAUGUUUUCCUUGGCAGGGACUGUGCCACUCCACUGAAAUGGAUCAGCUGAGUCUGUCGGGCAUUGGUGCCGCUUCUUCAGGCGCUGCAGCUUCUGGGUCCUUUCCCAGGUUCUAAGAGCCCUGAUGUAUCCCAAGUCCUGCCUCUUCCAGGGCCCAUGCCUUCCAGAAGCAUCAGCACACUUCAGCACCACCCAGGCCCAGGGCCUGCAGGAAUGUGGCUAAGGGUGGCUUCACCUGGCGCCCCUUGCCUUCACUCUUCUGUCUCAGCUGCCCCUGCUGGUAGCUCAAGUUAGAAAGGAAAGCUCAUUCACCUAUCCAGGGAAUAUGGAUAGAGGACUUAUACAGCUCUGAGCAUUGCCCAGCACAAAACAGCGACCUUAACAGUGAACAAAAUAGACAAAGAGCCCGGUUCUCAUGAGCUUCCCUUCCAACUCAUCUAAUCAACUUCUCAAAUGAAGUAUUGAACAUGUUCCUCCCUGCCAGGAUGCCUCCUUCUUAAAAAAAAAAAAAAAAAAACUGGAGAAAUACAGUUUAAUCCAAAAGGAAGUACCGGUAAUGGAAUUCCAAGCAUCUGUAGGGGAAAUAUUUGAGACUGAGAGACUCUUUGUUUUGUUGUUGUUGUUUUUUUAGAAUAGGAGGUCACCAAACUAACACCUGUGGGUCAAACCCAGCCCAACACCUGUUUUGUAAUGAUCCACAAGCUAAGAAUGGUGUUUAUGUUUUUUAAAGGUUGAAAAAAAUCAAUGAAAGAAUAUUUUGUAAAAAUCAUACGAGAUAUUCAAUUCAGCGUUCAUAAAGUGUUAUUGGAAUGCAGCCAUGCCCACGUGUUUCCACACUGUCCGAGGCUGCUUUCACACCUCCAGGGCAGAGUUAAACAGUUGUAAUAGAUACUGCAUAUGGCCCCCAAAGCCUAAAACAUUACUCUCUGUUCCUUUACAGAAAGUUUGCUGACCCCAGCUCUAGAAUCAUAUGGCAGAGACAGACAUUAUUUUCCAUGUGCAUAUAAAUGGCCCUGUCUGGCAAGCAGGGGUCCCUCUUUCCCGUUUUGCCUCUGGAAGAGAAUCGUAAAGUGGACCGAAUGUCAGAGACUGAAAACCUGUUCCUGACAUCUGUUUUCUCUUUGGAACACCGAGACAGCUUUCCUGGGGAAGUGUUCGGACAAAUGCAAGAUUCCUUCCCCGUAGGAUCUUCAAUGUCAUUUACCGAAUUAGACGCAAACCUUCAACUUGGGAGGUUCUGGGCUUCCUGGUGGUGGUGGCUGGUAGGGUCAUCCAUGGUCUUGGCUCUGCCAACUUAAACAAUAAUAUUUAUGCCUGUGCAAAAAACAAGGGUUCAAAUCCCCCCUGUGCCACUUAGCAUAUUGUAUGGUAUUGUGCAAGUUAUUAAACCUGAAUGAAAGAAGCCUCAAUUCUCUUAUGUGUGAAAUGGCUGACCUUGCCUACUUUGAAGGCUGUUAAGAGAAACAAAUGCAAUCACACAUGUAAAGGUGUUGGUAACCUGGACAGCAGCUGCAAGUACACUGUCCUUUCUCUUCUCAUGGACAGGCAGCACCGUGAGCUGAAUCUUGUGCUGUGUGUGUUCUUCUUUGUGGAGACCAGGUGGCGAGUCAAGGCGAGAGGGAACCUAUAACAAUAUUCUUCUUGCCUUCACUCAGGGUCUCUGCCUGCCCUGAGCCCCCACUCUCCACCCUCACCCAGGUCCCACGACUCUCUGGAGUCAGCUUCAGGAGUUCUCACCCACAUGGGGGAACAGGCCUCUCACAAGCAAGAACAUGCUGAAGUCCUUCCUCCAGAGUUGUCUUUGGAGGAUGCCAUUGCUGCCCCAGGUAGGCACCCCCAAGCCCUUGAUGAUGCAGGAUGCGGCUACUAGCACAGCUUUCUCUGAUUAUUUGCUUAUUUUCUCCCCAAUCUGUAACCCUCUCAAAGUGCAGGAAGUCUAUAUCCCACUGUGUGCCCCUGAUUAUCCUAAACGUCAUAACCAUGUUCCUUAGGAUUGGGGAAAGGAGCAGUUUUUAAGGGUUAAAAUCUUCCCCCCUUAGGUACAGGGAACAAAACAGAUCAAAUUAUGCUAUGUGCAUAUGUGAACAUAGCACAAAGCAUCCUACUAUUUUGUAUGAUUAUAAUGUACCAAUAAAAUUAAUUUAACAAGUCUUCCUCCUUCACUGGACUCUGAGCAUCUUAGGGGCAGA
Molecule: long non-coding RNA, 54929 nt
Filed under: Marmota monax (woodchuck)
Lineage: Eukaryota; Metazoa; Chordata; Mammalia; Rodentia; Sciuridae
Rfam family: tRNA (bases 40919-40987)
Source: RNAcentral